Molecule: long non-coding RNA, 59633 nt
Filed under: Manihot esculenta (cassava)
Lineage: Eukaryota; Viridiplantae; Streptophyta; Magnoliopsida; Malpighiales; Euphorbiaceae
Description: long non-coding RNA (MESC_LNC006214)
Source: RNAcentral
UCUACCAUGGCCAAACUUGGAGGAUGUAUCAAUAAACUUGAGCUUAAUCUCCUCCAAAGCAACCCUAGAUGUCUGGUUCAACAAUGAUUGUCUCAAGGUCACAACUCUCUUCUUUGGUCCCACGCAGCAUCCUUUUAUCAUCAAAUAAUCUUCCUUCACCACACCAUAAUGGGGGAAUCCUCCCAUUGGAGUGAUAUCCUUUUCAGUCCUGUUAUUUGUGAAACAGAUUAGCCAAUUUCGAUGGGGCAAAUUUACAAUAACAACAAUAACCUCCUACGAAUUGCUAGAUCAAGACGAAUGAUAUUAAUAUAGGACAGUGAAAAAAAGGCAUUAAGAAUGUUAACCUGUCAUAUUCAGUAAUUGCAGUAUGAGAAUCUUGGCCACUCUUCCCAAGCUUGUAGAUUUUCUUGUUCAUCUCAGUACGGUGAUGGUAACCAUUCUGUCCAGCCCUAGCAACAGUAAAUGACACCCUAGCUGGAUGCCAAGCACCAAUACAUGCCACCUUCCUUAGACCACGAUGGGUCUUGCGGGGCAGGCGGGUCACACCCCAACGAGUAACCACACCUUCAUAUCCCUUACCCUUGGUUACACCAAUAAUAUCAAUCAUCUCAUCCUUUUGGAAAACAGCAUCAAUAGGUAUCUGCUUCUCAAAGAAACUGUAUGCAAAAUCAACCUUCUUGGCAACAUCCCCACCAUUUACUUGAAUCUCCAUCAGAUGGGCUUUCUUCUGCUUCAACCCUUUCAUCUUUCUUAUCUGCAGAGUCAAUAGUGCAGCAAAUGUGAAGAGUUAAAGAUUAAAGAAGAGCACAUACAAGUUGUACUCAGAAGACCAAAACUGUGAAUCUAUACAAGGAUCAGCAAUCCAGCAGUCUUAAGGUGCUACUAAAUUGAUGAGUAAUUAUAUCUCAUUAGCAGAACUGAAUACACAAGGGAAAAGUGAAAGUAAUUUACCUGGGUGUGCGCCAAGACUCGAAUGACCGAACAAUGCUUCUUCAGUUUCUCCAAUUGAGCUUGAAUAUCUUUCUUCCCAUCCUCAGAUUCAAACUUUUUAGAGUACUUGGUGAAUGCCUUCUUCUUCGACUUGCACCAGUUCUUGUAGAAUCUCCUCCUCACAUCCUCACUCAAAUGCUGGGCCCAGACAGUGUUCAGUGAACGGAGACCACGGGGUGUUUUCAUAUAACCCACAACCCCAACCACCACCAUAGGUGGUGUCUCUACGAUAGUAACAGCCUCACAUGUUUCUUUCUUGUGGAGCUUUGACCCUGGCUUUUCAACUUCUCUGACAAUGUGGGUCAUCCCUGCUUUGUAACCCAGAAAAGCAGUCAAUCUGCAAGGUUUUGUUGGAUCAUCUUUGGGGAACGCCUUCACUGUAAACAUCACAUAAAAGCGUUAAAAAAAAAUCAACAAUUGCACAACACUAACCAAUAUGCAAAUUGCAAAAAUAGUCAAUAUAAACAACUCACAAGUGAGUAAGAAAUCAACAUUAACAAAUAUUGAAAUAAUUUAAUUGCAAGGCACUGAAAAAAAUCAAUGCAAACACUAAAACUAAGGAAGCAACAUAGGAAGAUGACACUCUUUAUGAAAACAAAAAAAAUUCUUGUAUUAAAAUCUAGAACUGCUAGGAAAUGCGAAUAAUUCAUUUAUAAUAACAAACCAACUACCAAGGCUAGGCAUAGGCCAUCUAUCUACCCACAACUCAUGCAGCAUAGAAAAGAGGCCAUUAUUGAAAUAUCAAGGACCUAUUUACUUGUAGAAAACAGUUUUUCUUUUCAACCUUCGAAGAAUUAGAAGACUAUAGUUUUCUUUUUAUAAAGAAAACAAAGGAAAAGAUGGAAAGCAAGUUCAAUAGUGAAUGAUAGAAAAUAGUUAUGUAUUUUAAAAAUUUUUAAGAAUUAUUUGUAUCCAUUCGUAAUAAAAAAAAAAGUCAUGAUAAAUAUAUUUUAGAUCUAUUUUUUAAUUGUGUCAAUUGUUUUAUCUUAUAAUAAUAUAGUUAGUUCUCAUUACUGUAAAUAAAUGUUUUUUCCCAACUUAAUGAUGAAAAGUUAUAGAAUAAUUUGAGUCAUUAGAGGAGAACAGUUGAAAAUAGAACUUUUGUUAUAAAGAAAAAUAAUGAGGAAAAAACAUAAAGCUGAUUUCCAAAUCUUAGUCAAGUUUUGGAAAAUUGAAAAACAAAAUUUUCAAUUCUCAGAUUGGAAAAUUGAUACAUAUGCACACAAAACUUUAUUUUCCAAUUUACUUAGAACAUUAUUCCCAAAAAUUACUCCAGUUUUCUACAAGUAAGAAAGUACAAAAAGUCCUGAGAUUUUUCAUGCCAAGGAAGAAAUGACAUACAAACGGACAAACCAUACAUGAAUUUAUUUUAUCAAAAGCCCUAUUUUUACAUCCAAAAAACCGAAGACAACCUUAACUAUAGAGGAGUUAGCUAAUACUAAAAAACCACCAUAAUAUGAUCAAAACUAAACAAAAAGCAAUUUAGGCAACAUCAAUUACUGAUAAUGAAAACAAUCAAUGCAUGACUUCAAAAAAAUCAACCAAUGCACAUUAUGUAAGGCCAAAUAUAAAUUUAAAAAGCUUCAGCAAUAAUGAGAUUAAAACAAGAAUUAGAAACCUUUUCCUCUGUGGCGCGAGGCUCUCUUCCUUGGAAGAAAUCCCAAAGAACCAUGCCGGGGGUGUUCAAACUUGCGAUGAGACAUGCUUCAACUUCAGGGUACCACUGCAACACUAUGAAUUUCAAACUUAUUUUCCUUGAAAAAGGCAGAAAAUUCACAACAACAGAAAGCAACAAAUUUUCAAAUGAUAUUUGGUUAAUCUCAAAUGCUACUACUUAUCAAUCUGCGUGUGUAUAAAACCAGAGAAACACUAUUCUCUCCAAGUGAAAAGGAUUAAAGAGGUAUUAUCCCAUAAAGGAGCUGAAAAUUGAGAUAAAGUUUCUGGAUAAAAGCAUAAUGACUAAAACACAGAUACAAAUUAAUAGAAACAUUCAAGUUUCAAUUAAAAAUAAUAAACAUUCUCAAAAAGAAGGGUAAGUUUUAAUAUUUAACAAUUAAUUUAUUAAAAAAAUACACAAUUGACAAUUUCAUUGAAAUACUAUGUAGUCAGACAAAAGUUUCUUGUAUUUGGAUCAGAUAAGGAAAAGUAAAAUCGUAAAUAAUCAAGAGAAACCAUCACAUUAAUUAAACCUGAUUGGAAGCCUCAAAACGGUUCUUUAUUCAACUUUAAAAAUCACUUAANNNNNNNNNNNNNNNNNNNNNNNNNNNNNNNNNNNNNNNNNNNNNGCCAUCAAAAUGCUACAAAGCCAAAAGGUCAUACAAUUUCAUUACUCAAUAAUCACGAAUUUCUUUUCUAGAAAAAAUGAAAUUAUAUCAACCCUUGACCUCUAAGCAUUUGAUAUCAACACCAAACCUUAAUAAGUGAAAUGAAAUGCUUCCCAACCAAAGGCCUAUGGCAUAAAAAUUAUGCCAAAUCUCAAAGCUCAGUGGUAUUCCUUUUCAAAUACCAAUUCAUGGUAUCGGCAAAAAGAGCCAUUUCCGAGACUCCAGCCUUGAUUAUUUCAGCAAUUCUCUUAUAAAGGGAAGUCGUUUCAAAAUCACCACCACGCAAGGCGCAAUAUCAAAAUGUUUAUCAGGACAAGAGCAUUAAAAGAACCUUUAAAAAACCUCCAAAACAUCUAUUUACAAAAGAGUAAAACAAGCAGAACCCAACUCCUUCCAGAACCAAGUAGAGAUCUAAGCUAAUCAAAUAUUGAAUCAAAAAGCGCAAACCAUUAUGAAUAAAUGACAGAAAUUGUAAGGUAUUACCUCCCGAGGAGAUCACUGGACGUACUGUGUGCCGAUAAGAACCCUAGAAAGGUUUAGCUAGGCAUUUAUAUCGUUCUCGAGGUCAGAUCCAACGGCUGCAAUUAGCAUCCAAUGGGUAUUAUUGUCCGUUGGAUGGUUAGGGUUGGGGUUUUGCAAGAAGCGCCGCGGAUCCAGCAGCUAUGGAAAAUAGUAAAUGGGCUAAGAAUAUUCAAAGUUGGGCUGAUUUGUUUUUUGGUUAGUGACUUUUAAGUUAAGUUUGGGUUCUGAGCAAAUUUUAAAAUGGUAUUUAGAAAUUGAAAACGUAAAUCAUAAAAUACUAUUUAUUUUAAUUUUGAAUAAAAAUUAUCUAUCAAAUAUUAAAAUAAUUAGUAACUAUUAAAACAUGUAAUAUUACUAGACAUUAUUUUGAAAAUAAUUUUUUUUAUAACAAUUAUAUAACCUUCAUGUGUAUAGAUGUAAAUAAUUUUUAUCAAAAUAAGAAAUUAAAUUUAUGGGAUAAAUUAUAGUUAAUCAAACUUUAUAAUUUUUUAAUUUUGUUAUAUAUAUUUAUGGUGUCCAAUAAAAAAUGUUAAAUUUUUAUUAAUUAGACAAAUAAAAAAUGUAAGGAUCUUUCUUCUUUUCUCGAAUGUGAGUUCUAUCCUUCCUUUGCCUCUAAGAGUGAGACACAUUUUUUUAGCUACUUUUACUCGGUGAAUUUAAAAAUUAGAAAGAAAUUAUAUUUUUUCUAUAUGCAUAUUUGGAUCUUUGUUGGUUUUCUCCUAUAUUUGCUUGGGUGGUUCAUAAUGUUCUAUUUGGACACUUUAUUUUUAGAGGAAACUCUUUUCCUUUAGAGGAAACUCUUUUCCUUUAGAGGACAUAGCCCCUUCCUUCGGGGGAGUUAUGUUUUUUGUGCUCAAUUAUUAUUUUUUUGUAGUUCUUGGUCUAAAUACUCUAAAAUCUAUUAAUAAAAUUAUUUUUUUUAAAAAAUAAGUUUUACCCUCCUUUCAGAUUCAAGCUUACUCAAUCAUGGAAAUAGCCUCUCUCAUUUCCAUCGAAUUUAGGGUACUCUGAUGCUCGGAAUGGAGGUCGUUUAUCGCAUCAUCACUAGCUCAUCCUCUCCUGAAGACCUAAAACAAUCUAUAAAUUCAAGUGGGAUUUUUCUCGAUAACAAUUUGAUCGAUAAAGUUCUCAAAAGGUUCAGGUUUGGUCAUGGGAAACCCUUGCAAGCACUUGAGCUCUUUAAAUUCACUGCCAAUAGAAAAGGGUUUUAUCACACUCCGAAUUCGUUAGAUACCAUGCUUUAUAUAUGGGCAAAGUCGUCAAUUUGAUCAUAUUUGGGAUGUUUUGAUUAAAAUGAAGAGGAAAGACCCGUCUUUGAUUUCCUCACGAACUAUGCAAGUGGUUUUGGGUAGACUGUGGAAUCUUUUAGAAUGUUCAAGAAGUUGGUUCCUGUGUUUGAUACCAGUUCUUUCAAUGCACUGUUGAGACCCUGUGUUUUCUUUAACAAAGGAAUGAUGAUCCAACCAAUGCACACGCCCCUGGAAUACCGCAGGGCAUAGAGCUCCCUACUUUCUUCUAAUACAAAAGCUACUUCCGACUGGUUUGUUCUUGGAGAAGGAGCUGGUUUUGCUCCUCUUAGAAGAGCUAGAACAUGCUAAGGUAUACCAGCUUUAGGUCAGCUUUUUCUAUUUGUUUUCUUUGAGAGGGGUUUGUUUCCCUUAUGUAUGGUCAAAUGCUGAGAUAACAGAGAAGAGGAGCAAAGAUUUACCCAGAAUUCCUAGGUGGAAGCUUCACAAGGGUAGCCCAAGUAUUUCUGUAGGUUGAAUUUCACAAAUAUGAUGGGCUUUAUGAGUUUUUUAUUUAUUGUAUUCAGGCCUUGAAAAAAAAAAAUAAAUAUCUAACAAUGAACUUUAAAAACUCGCAUCUCAUCCAAAAAGGUUCAGUAAUAAUUAAAGCAGCAGAUGCAGUCACUAAGCAAACCAACAGCAUAAGCACACCUCAAAAGGUUCAAACACUAGGAGAAAAACAAAUUCUCAAACGUAAGAAGAAAAGUUUUGAUGUUCAUCCAUCCUCUCCCAUGCUUAACUAAACUCAAGCCUUAACACGCCCAUAGAACUUGGACUUCUCCUGUGUUGUCUGGAAUCUUCCAUGGCCAAACUUGGAGGAUGUAUCAAUGAACUUGAGCUUAAUCUCCUCCAAAGCAACCCUAGAUGUCUGGUUCAACAAUGAUUGUCUCAAGGUCACAACUCUCUUCUUUGGUCCCACGCAGCAUCCUUUUAUCAUCAAAUAAUCUUCCUUCACCACACCAUAAUGGGGGAAUCCUCCCAUUGGAGUGAUAUCCUUUUCAGUCCUGUUAUUUGUGAAACAGAUUAGCCAAUUUCGAUGGGGCAAAUUUACAAUAACAACAAUAACCUCCUACGAAUUGCUCGAUCAAGAAGAAUGAUAUUAAUAUAGGACAGUGAAAAAAAAGCAUUAAGAAUGUUAACCUGUCAUAUUCAGUAAUUGCAGUAUGAGACUCUUGGCCACUCUUCCCAAGCUUGUAGAUUUUCUUGUUCAUCUCAGUACGGUGAUGAUAACCAUUCUGUCCAGCCCUAGCAACAGUAAAUGACACCCUAGCUGGAUGCCAAGCACCAAUACAUGCCACCUUCCUUAGACCACGAUGGGUCUUGCGGGGCAGACGGGUCACACCCCAACGAGUAACCACACCUUCAUAUCCCUUACCCUUGGUUACACCAAUAAUAUCUAUCAUCUCAUCCUUUUGGAAAACAGCAUCAAUAGGGAUCUGCUUCUCAAAGAAACUGUAGGCAAAGUCGACCUUCUUGGCAAUAUCCCCACCAUUCACCUGAAUCUCCAUUAGAUGGGCUUUCUUCUGCUUCAACCCUUUCAUCUUUCUUAUCUGCAGAGUCAAUAGUGCAGCAAAUGUGAAGAGUUAAGGAUUAAAGAAGAGCACAUACAAGUUGUACAUGAAAGAACAGAAUCAUGAAUCUAUUGAGGAUCAGAAAUCCAGCAGAGCCUUAAAGUGCUACUAAAUUAUUGAGUGAUGAUAUCUCAUUCACAAAUACAGAAAUGAAUGCACAAGGGAAAAGUGGAAGUAAUUUACCUGGGUGUGCGCCAAGACCCGAAUGACGGAACAAUGCUUCUUCAGUUUCUCCAAUUGAGCUUGAAUAUCUUUCUUCCCAUCUUCAGAUUCAAACUUCUUAGAGUACUUGGUGAAUGCCUUCUUUUUGGACUUGCACCAGUUCUUGUAGAAUCUCCUCCUCACAUCCUCACUCAAAUGCUGGGCCCAGACAGUGUUCAGUGAACGGAGACCACGGGGUGUUUUCAUAUAACCCACAACCCCAACCACCACCAUGGGUGGUGUCUCUACGAUAGUAACAGCUUCACAUGUUUCUUUCUUGUGGAGCUUUGACCCUGGCUUUUCAACUUCUCUGACAAUGUGGGUCAUCCCUGCUUUGUAACCCAGAAAAGCAGUCAAUCUGCAAGGUUUUGUUGGAUCAUCUUUGGGGAAUGCCUUCACUGUAAACAUCACAGAAAAGCGUAAAAAAAAUCAACAAUUGCACAACACUAACCAAUAUGCAAAUUGCAAAAAUAGUCAAUAUAAACAACUCACAAGUGAGUAAUAAAUCAACAUUAACAAAUACUGACAUAAAUUUAAUUGCAAGGCACUGAAACAAAUCAAUGCAAACACUAAAACUAAGGAAGCAACAUAGUAAGAUGACACUCUUUAUGAAAACAAAAAAAUGCUUGUAUUAAAAUCUAGAACUGUUAGGAAGUGCGAAUAAUUCAUUUAUAAUAACAAACCAACUACCAAGGCUAGGCAUAGGCCAUCUAUCUACCCACAACUCAUGCAGUCAGAAAAGAGGUUAUUAUUGAAAUAUCAAGGACCUAUUUACUUGUAGAAAACAGUUUUUCUUUUCAACCUUCGAAGAAUUAGAAGACUGUAGUUUUCAUUUUAUAAAGAAAACAAAGGAAAAGAUGGAAAGCAAGUUCAAUUGUGUAUGACAGAAAAUAGUUUUGUAUCUUAAAAAUUUUUUAAAAAUUAUUUGUAUCCAUUCGUAAUAGAAAGAGUCAUGAUAAAUAUAUUUUACAUCUAUUUUUUUAAAUGUGUCAAUUGUUUUAUCUUAUAAUAAUAUAGUUAGUUUUCAUUACUGUAAAUAAAUGUUUUUUCCAAACUUAAUGAUUAAAAGUUAUAGAAUAAUUUUAGUCAUUAGAGGAAAACAGUUGAAAAUAGAACUUUUGUUAUAAAGAAAAAUAACGAGGAAAAAACAUAAAGCUGAUUUCCAAAUCUUAGUUAAGUUUAGAAAAUUGAAAAACAAAAUUUUCAAUUCUCAGAUUGGAAAAUUGAUACAUAUGCACACAAAACUUUAUUUUCCAAUUUACUUAGAACAUUAUUCCCAAAAAUUACUCCAGUUUUCUACAAGUGAGAAAGUACAAAAAGUCCUGAGAUUUUUCAUGCCAAGGAAGAAAUGACAUACAAAAGGACAAACUAUACAUGAAUUUCUUUAAUCAAAAGCCCUAUUUUUACAUCCAAAAAACAGAAGACAACAUUAACCAUAGAGUUCGCUAAUACUAAAAAAACACCAUAAUAUGAUCAAAACUAAACAAGAAGCAAUUUAGGCAACAUCGAUUACUGAUAAUGAAAACAAUCAAUGCAUGACUUCAAAAAAAUCAACGAAUGCAUAUUAUGUAAGGCCAAAUAUAAAUUUAAAAAGCUUCAGCAAUAAUGAGAUUAAAACAAGAAUUAGAAACCUUUUCCUCUGUGGCGCGAGGCUCUCUUCCUUGGAAGAAAUCCCAAAGAACCAUGCCGGGGGUGUUCAAACUUGCGAUGAGACAUGCUUCAACUUCAGGGUACAACUGCAACACUCUAUGAAUUUCAAACUUAUUUUCCUUGAAAAAGGCAGAAAAUUCACAACAACAGAAAGCAACAAAUUUUCAAAUGAUAUUUGGUUAAUCUCAAAUGCUACUGCUUAUCAAUCUGUGUGUAUAAAACCAGAGAAACACUAUUCUCUCCAAGUGAAAAGGAUUAAAACAGGUAUUAUCCCAUAAAGGAGCUGAAAAUUGAGAUAUAGUUUCUGGAUAAAAUCAUAAUGACUAAAACACAGAUACAAAUUAAGAGAAACAUUCAAGUCAAUUAAAAAUAAUAAACAUUCUCAAAAAGAAGGGUAAGUUUUAAUAUUUAACAAUUACUUUAUUAAAAAAUACACAAUUGACAAUUUCAUUGAAAUACUGUGUAGUCAGACAAAAGUUUCUUGUAUUUGGAUAAGAUAAGGAAAAGUAAAAUCGUAAAUAAUCAAGAGAAACCAUCAGAUUAAUUAAACCUGAUUGGAAACCUCAAAACGGUUCAUUAUUCAACUUUAAAAAUCAAUUAAAAAAAUUUUUGAAAAAAAAGACUCAGCCAUCAAAAUGCUACAAAACCAAAAGGUCAUACAAUUUCAUCACUCAAUAAUCACGAAUUUCUUUUCUAGAAAAAAUGAAAUUAUAUCAACCCUUGACCUCUAAGCAUUUGAUAUCAACACCAAACCUUAAUAAGUGAAAUGAAAUGCUUCCCAACCAAAGGCCUAUGGCAUAAAAAUUAUGCCAAAUCUCAAAGCUCAGUGGUAUUCCAUUUCAAAUACCAAUUCAUGGUAUCGGCAAAAAGAGCCAUUUCCGAGACCCCAGCCUUGAUUAUUUCAGCAAUUCUCUUAUAAAGGGAAGUCAUUUCAAAAUCACCACCAGGCAAGAUUAUCAGGACAAGAGCAUUAAAAGAACCUUUAAAAAACCUCCAAAACAUCUAUUUACAAAAGAGUAAAACAAGCAGAACCCAACUCCUUCCAGAACCAAGUAGAGAUCUAAGCUAAUCAAAUAUUGAAUCAAAAAAAGCAAACCAAGUAGAGAUCUAAGCUAGAAGUUUAAUUAUCAUGUAUGUUUAUGAAUCAAUGACAGGAAUUGUAAGGUAUUACCUCCCGAUGAGGAGAUCACUGGACGUACUGUGUGCCGAUAAGAACCCUAGAGAGGUUUAGCUAGACAUUUAUAUCGUUCUCGAGAUGAGAUCCAACGGCUGUAAUUAGCAUCCAAUGGGUAUUAUCGUUGGAUGGUUAGGGUUAGCGUUUUGCAAGAAGAGCCGCCGAUCCAGCAGCUAUGGAAACUAGUAAAUGGGCUAAGAAUAGAGAAAGCCGACUACAUCCAGUCCAAUAUUCAAAGGUGGGCUGAGUUGUUUUUUGGUUAGUAACUUUUAAGUUUGGGUUCUGAGAAAAUUUUAAAAUGGUAUUUAGAAAUUGAAAACGUAAAUCAUAAAAUACUAUUUUUUUUAAUUUUGAGUAAAAAUUAUCUAUCAAAUAUUAAAAUAAUUAGUAACUAUUAAAACAUGUAAUAUUACUAGACAUUAUUUUGUAAAUAAUUUUUUUAUAAAUGUAAAUAAUGUUAUCAAAAUAAGAAAUUAAAUUUAUGGGAUAAAUUAUAGUUAAUCAAACUUUACCAUUUUUCUAAUUUUGUUAUAUAUAAUUAUGGUGCCCAAUAAAAAAUGUUAAAUUUCUAUUAAUUAGACAAAUAAAUCUAACCGUGGUUUUAUUUUUUUUUUUUUUUAAAUAAAGAUUCUCUCUCCAAAUUCCUUUCUUAAGUUUUAACUUAAAUUCAUUUGCUGCCUCCUGUGCGGGUGAGCAGUAUUCGGUUCAAAUCGAAAAAAUUGAUCGAACCGAACUGAUUUAAAAUUUUAGUUCGGUUUUUUAUAUAUUUUGGUUCAGUUUGGUUUUUAAUUUUAGAAAUUUCGGUUAUUUCAAUUCGGUUCGAUUUUAAUUAAAAAAAAAUCGAAAAAACCGAAUCAAACCGAUUAGUAAUAAUAAUAUAUUUUUUCAAUAAUAUAGAGAAAUUAAAUCAUAUUAAAAUUAAAAUAUUUUAAUUAAAUUUUAAAAUAUUAAAAAUAAAAUGUAAAAAAUAAAAAAAUUAUUAAAAAUCGAAACUGAUCAAACCGAACCGAAUCGAACCGAAUCAUACCGGUUUGGUUCGAUUCGAUUUCUAAUCAAAAUCGGUUCGGUUCGAUUUUCAUAAAUACUAAAAUUUCGGUUUCGGUUUAUUCGAUUCGGUUCGAUUUUGAACCGAACUGACCGAAUGCUCACCCCUACUCCUGUGGUUUAUCAUAUCUCUGCAUGUAAGAGGAUCCUUCUACCCUUCCUUUGCCUCUAAGGGUAAGAGAGACCUCUUUUCUUUUUUGAAUAUAGUUUCUAUUUUCUCCCAUCCGAUUGGAUUGUAGAUAAUCCUUUUAACUAUUUUUACUCGGUUGUAUUUAAGCAUUCGAAAGAGAUCAUAUAUUUUUUAUAUGCAUAUUUGAAUCUUUGUGGGUUUUUCUCCUCUUUGCUUGUCUCUUUCAUAAUGUUCUAUUUGUAUACUUUAUUUUUAAAGUAAACUCCUUUACUUUAGAGGACAUGCCCCUUCUUUAGCAUGAAUUAUAUUUUUUGUGUCUAAUUGUUAUUUUUUUUGCGAUUGUUGGUCUAAAGAUUCUAAAUUACUCUUUGAUGAUUAUCAUUCGAUAGAGGGGGCAAGAAACAAAAUAAUAGUUGUAUCUAGCACAUGCUCGUAAACAGUUUAGAAAGCAGGAAUGAGAUGACAAAUAAUGAUACCACCUUUAUUCAUUGCCAACACAUAAUAGAUGUAGAGUUUCUAUAUGGUUCGGUACUCAAUGGUUUUCUCUUUAUCUUUCUUCGAAUAUUUUUUAUUUCUUUACUUUUUUUUAUUUUUCACAUUUAAAUUUAUCAAUAUCAACAUCUCAAUAAAUAGCUAGCUUAGUAUAGUUAGGGUUAUAUAAUUUUUUUUCAGUAGGAUAGGCUUGCUUGUAAUGGGAUUGUGUUUUACAUGUAUGAAAGAAUAAAUAUCAAAUACUUAAAUUUUUAAAAAAUUUAUUAAUUUAUUUAUAUUUUAAAAUUAUUCAAUUAAAAUAUCUUUAUAUUUUACAUAAUCAAACUCUUGUAAUUUUUAUGUUACUUUACAAGAUUUAUUUUAAAUUUGAUCAGAAAAAUUAAAUAGUAUGAAUAUUUCAAAUUAUAAAAAUUAAAUAAUACAUAUAAUUAAAAUUAUAAAAACCAACCAAAACAAUUAUUCCAGGUAGGUUGCUAAUGUUUUUUUUUUUUAACAGAAAAAAAAAUUUAUAUUUUACAAAAUAUAAAAAUAAUUUAAUGGAGUGAUUUGAAAAUAAAAACAAACUAGUUUAUUUAAUAAAAUUUCAGGGAUUACAUAAUAAUUUAGCCUAGAUGUAUUUGGGAUGGGUUUGGACCAAGCAAUAUUGUUUUUUCUUUUUAGUCAUAGCCUAUCUGAGGGCCCUCAACUAGAAAAUGAAAUUGCAUUAAUAAAAUUAAUUUGGUUGGACUCAAUUAAAUUUGAUAUAUUGGCUUGGAUUAAUUAUAAAUUCAGUUUCAGUUAUGUUUCUCAAUAUUAACUUUAAUUUGAAACUUAAUUACAAUUAAUUAAAAAGUUAAACUAUUCUAUUGGCUCCUUUCUAGAUUACCUCAGCUUGAUACGGUCUUUUGCCCAGAAAUGCAAGAAAUCUAGAAUGUUUACUUCUAGAUGAUGUGCAAGUCCAUUAGUUCUUUUGGGUCGGAUCUAGAGAAUCCAAUCAGGAUUAAUGUUUUCUGGGUGGAAUUUACAUUUGAGUUGUCUUUUACUGGAACCAAAUCAUUGUACUUUUAGGCCAUAGUUAAUGAUAUUUCAAUCCAAAAUUUGAUACUAAAUUCACAUUGAUUUCACACAUCUCAAAAACCAUAAAGAUGACCUUGACAUAAUACUUAUUAAUAAAUUCGAUUAUUAUAUGGGCAAUCUAUUAACAGAAAAUGGACAUUAAACUGAAAAGCAUCGAACAGAAGUAAUACAAAUACCAUAUGCAUUGCAUUUUGUGCUCAAGCAGACACUUGAAAGCUAAUGAUCUGGAUUAGGAAUACUAUUACUUCAUACAUGCUUCCAUUCAGUCAUCAAGCAAACUGGCUUUGUUAAUGGUACCUCAAAUCAUCAAUGUCAUGCCCUUUGAGAGCAAAAUGGAGCACUGAAAUCAAUGGCAUUCAGAUAUAUAAAUAGCAGUAAAUAAUUUAAUAAGGAAAGCUCCAAACAGGUUCAGUAAUAAUUGAAGCAACAAAACUACAGUCACCAACAAAAACCAACAGAGUAAUCCAACUCAAAAAUUUCAAACACUAGGAGAAAAAGUUGUGAUGUUUAUUUAUCCUCUCCCAUGCUUAGCUAAACUCAAGCCUUAACCCGCCCAUAGAACUUUGCCUUCUCCUGUGUUGUCUGGAAUCUACCAUGGCCAAACUUGGAGGAUGUAUCAAUGAACUUGAGCUUAAUCUCCUCCAAAGCAACCCUAGAUGUCUGGUUCAACAAUGAUUGUCUCAAGGUCACAACUCUCUUCUUUGGUCCCACGCAGCAUCCUUUUAUCAUCAAAUAAUCUUCCUUCACCACACCAUAGUGGGGGAACCCUCCCAUUGGUGUGAUAUCCUUUUCAGUCCUGUUAUUUUUGAAACACAUUAGCCAAAAUUGACAUAGCAAAUUUACAAAAGCUACCAAAAUCUCUAUGAUUUGCCUGAUCAAGGUGCAUAGUAUUAAAAUAGGACUGUAAAGGGAACAAGCAUUAAGAUGGUGAACCUGUCAUAUUCAGUAACUGCAGUAUGAGACUCUUGGCCGCUCUUCCCAAGCUUAUAGAUUUUCUUGUUCAUUUCAGUACGGUGAUGGUAACCAUUCUGUCCAGCCCUAGCAACAGUAAAUGACACCCUAGCUGGAUGCCAAGCACCAAUACAUGCCACCUUCCUUAGACCACGAUGGGUCUUGCGGGGCAGACGGGUCACACCCCAACGAGUAACCACACCUUCAUAUCCCUUACCCUUGGUCACACCAAUAAUAUCUAUCAUCUCAUCCUUUUGGAAAACAGCAUCAAUAGGGAUCUGCUUCUCAAAGAAACUGUAGGCAAAGUCGACCUUCUUGGCAAUAUCCCCACCAUUCACCUGAAUCUCCAUUAGAUGGGCUUUCUUCUGCUUCAACCCUUUCAUCUUUCUUAUCUGCAGAGUCAAUAGUGCAGCAAAUGUGAAGAGUUAAGGAUUAAAGAAGAGCACAUACAAGUUGUACACGAAGGAACAGAACCAUGAAUCUAUUGAGGAUCAGAAAUCCAGCAGAGCCUUAAGGUGCUACUAAAUUAUUGACUGAUGAUAUCUCAUUAACAAAUACAGAAACGAAUGCACAAGGGAAAACUGAAAGUCAUUUACCUGGGUGUGCGCCAAGACCCGAAUGACGGAACAAUGCUUCUUCAGUUUCUCCAAUUGAGCUUGAAUAUCUUUCUUCCCAUCUUCAGAUUCAAACUUCUUAGAGUACUUGGUGAAUGCCUUCUUUUUGGACUUGCACCAGUUCUUGUAGAAUCUCCUCCUCACAUCCUCACUCAAAUGCUGGGCCCACACAGUGUUCAAUGAACGGAGACCACGGGGUGUUUUCAUAUAACCCACAACCCCAACCACCACCAUGGGUGGUGUCUCUACGAUAGUAACAGCUUCACAUGUUUCUUUCUUGUGGAGCUUUGACCCUGGCUUUUCCACUUCUCUGACAAUGUGGGUCAUCCCUGCUUUGUAACCCAGAAAUGCAGUCAAUCUGCAAGGCUUUGUUGGAUCAUCUUUGGGAAAUGCCUUCACUGUAAACAUCACAAAAGAAAAUAAAAGAUCAACCAACACUUAUCAAUUCAUGAAUUGCAAAAAUAAAGUCACUAUAAACAACACACAACAGAGUAAGAAAUCAAUAUCUCAGCUAAUAUUAACAAAUAUUGACACAAUUUAAUUCAAGGCACUUUUACAGGUCUAUGCAAAUAAUAAAACAAUGCAAGUACCAUAGUUGUAGAUAACAUUCUUUAUGAAAAAGAAUCUUGAAUUUAAAUUUAGAAGUGUUACUAAGUGUAAAGAAUUCAUUUCAAAUAAUAAAUAGACUAUCCAGGCUAGGCCAUCUGACCAAAACUCAUGCAGGAAGAGGUUAUUAUUCAAAUAUUAAAGGCCUGUUUACUUACAGAAAACAGUUUUUUUGUUUUCCAUUUUCUGGAAAAACUGUAGUUCCAAUUUUCUAAAGAAAAUAAAGGAAGACAUGCAAAGUGACUUCAAUUGUUAAUAAUAUAAAAUAGUUUUCUAUUUUAAAAAUGUUAGAAUCUAUUUGUAUAAUGAAAAAAUGAAACGUAAAACGUUACCAUAUAUUUAAAAAUGUUAUAAUUUUCUAAAGACCCUAUUUUCACAUCCAAAAAAGCCAAGGAAAACAUGAAACAUUGAGUAACUAGCUAAUACUAAAGACACCAUAAUGUGAUCAAAACUAAACAAAAAUAGCUUCGGGUAACAUCAAUUUCUGAUAAUAAAAACAAACAAAAAACAACUUCAAUGAAAAUCAAUGAAUGCAUAUCAUGUCAGACCAUGCAUAAAUCAUAAACAGCUUCCGCGAUAUUAAAACUAGCACUAGAAACCUUUUCCUCUGUGGCGUGAGGCUCUCUUUCUUGGAAGAAAUCCCAAAGAACCAUGUCGGGGGUGUUCAAACUUGCGAUGAGACAUGCUUCAACCUCAGGACACCACUGCAACACUCAUAGAAUUUCAAACUUAUUAGAGAAAAUUCAUACAAGAUAGGAAAAUAUCUUUCCAAAAGAUAUUCAGUUAAUUUUAAAUGCUUGAACUUGUCAAUCAUUUUUUUAAUAAUAUCAGCGAAACAAAUUUCUCUCUCAAAGAAAAGAAUCUUACCAAGUAUUAUCACAUAAAGAACUGAAAAUUGAAAUAAUGUUUUUGUAUGAUAUUGUACUCGCACAAUAUUCUCUAUCGCAACCAAAAGAUCAAAACAUGUAUUAUCACAUAAACAAGAUGAUAUUGAAAUAGAUUUUCUGGAUAAAAUCAUAAUGACUUGAACGGAUAUAAGUCAUGAGACACAUUCAAGUCAAUUAAAAUUAUUUAAAAUAGUAAAGAGAAUGGGAUGUAUGCAGUCAUAAAAAUUUUUUCCUGUAUUUUCAUAAUAACACGCUAAAGGCAAAUGAUCAAGAGACAACCACCAAAUUAACCAACCUGGAAGGAAUCCUCAAAACAGAACAUAAGUUUCAAUUUAAAAUCAAUUUUUUUAAAAAAUAAGCUUUGCGCUCAAAAUGCUACAAAACCAAAAGAUUAUACUAUUUCAAUACUAAAUAAUCACGAAUUUCAUUUAAAAAAAUAAACAUAUCAACCCUCAACCUGUAAGCAUUGAUAACAACACCAAACCUUUACCAUGUGAAAUGACAUGCUUCCCAAGCAAAGGCCUAUGGAACAACAACUAUGCCAAAUCUCGAAGCUCAGCGGUACAUUGUACAGGCAAAAAGAGCCCUUUCCGAGUCUCCAGCCUUGAUUAUUUCAGCCGUUCUCAUAUAAAGGAAGCAAUUUCAAAACCACUACCAGGCAAGCGCAAUAGCAAAAUGUUUACCAUAACAAGAGCAUAACAAACCCUUUAAAAAACUGGAAAAACACUUUAACAGAAAUCUUCAGAAGCGUAAAACAAGCAUAACCCAAUUCCUCGUAGAGACAAGUAGAGAUCUAAUCUAGUCAAUCACUGGAUCGUAAAAAGCAAACCAAAUUGACCCAUGAAGAUUCAAUCAGCUAGAAGUUAAAUAAGCACGAGUGUUUAUGAAUACAUUACAGAGAUUGGAAGGAAUUACCUCCAGAUGCGAAGGCCACUAGAUGUACUGGGUGCCGCAAAGAACCCUAGAAGGGUUUAGCUAGGCAUUUUAUAUCGUUCUCGAAUGAAAUCCAACGGCUGCAAUUAGCGUCCAAUUGGUAAUUGUCGUCCGUUGGAUACGUAAAUUGGAUUAGGGUUAGGGUUUUCUGAGAAGAGCAGCCAUGGAAAAUAAUAUAUGGGCUUAGAAUAGAGAAAGCCCACUGAACCGCUGUUUGAUCUAGUCCAAUACUAUCUAAAUUGGGCUGAGUUUCUGAAAAUUAAUGGAACCACUUGGAUUUUUUUUUAAUAUAUUUUUUCCAUAAUAAACUUUUUUUAAUUUAUUUUUUGGAUAAAAUUAAUUGAUUGAAAUUAAAAAAAUCGAUUAAAUUAAAUUAAUUUAAAAUUUUAGUUUAAUUUUUUAUUCAUUUUAAUUCGAUUCGAUUUUUAAUUUUAAAAAUUUCGAUUAUUUCGAUUUGGAUUAUAAAAAAUUGAAAAAACUAAAUCGAAUCGAUUAAUGAUAAUAGUAUAUUAUUUUAAUAAUAUAGAGAGAUUAAAUCAUAUUAAAAUUAAAAUAUUCUAAUUAAAUUUUAAAAUAUUAAAAGUAAAGUGUAUAAAAUAAAAAUUUAUUAAAAAUUUAAACCGAUCAAAUCGAUUUAAUUCGAUUUGAUUUUUAAUUAAAAUCGAUUUAAUUUAAUUUUUAUAAAUACUAAAAUUUUAAUUUUCAAUUUAUUUAAUUUGAUUUGAUUUUAAACUGAAUCGAUCCCAUAAGAAAAUGAAAUUAUGCGUUGAGCAUCUAAAACUAAGUGGUGGCAUUAUAUUAAUAGAAUAAUAAUUAUUAAUAUUAAAUAAAAAAAUAUUUUAAAUUAUAGUGAGAGAUUUGUGACAAUGAUUUGUAAAAGAUAGAGAGUGGACAAAGGCACUUGAAAAUGAGAUGGAGUUCCACCAAAUAUCAAGCUAAGAUCAAUCUCAUGAUGUCAAAUGGGCCAUCAUCUAAAAGAAAUCUAGUCAUGUCACCAAAGACUUCAAAUUUUUAAAUUAAAAUAUUUCAAAUCUUUUAACUAUCUGCUAAUAGAUACGACGAAUGAGAUUCUAUUUUAACAUAAAAUUAAAGAAAAAUUAUUUUUUAGUCUCUGAGAUAUAGUGUAAUUAACGGAUUCAUUCUUCUAUUUUUAGAAUCCAAUAUUUUCGUCCCUGAGAUUUAAUUUCGUUAAAAUUUAAUGUCUCUCGUCAAAAAUUUCUGUUAAGUCAAUGAUUUUCACCUGGUGAAAGAGAAUAAAUAUAAUUUCAAAAAUAUCAUUAUCAAUAAUAAAAUGAAAAAAAUACUAUUUAGUCCCUAUAAUAUGAAAAAAUUCACUAUUUAAUCCCUUAAUUUUGAAAAAUAUAUUAAAAUGUUCCUAACAUUUUAAAAAGUCUACUAGUUAGUUCCUCUAUUAAUUUUAUCACUAAAUAUUUUACUAUUUAGUCCCUAUAGUUUAGAAAAAAAAUUAAUUAACCCCUCAAAUUAUUAAAAAAUUUACUAAUUAGUCACUCCAUAUCAUGGGAAUUUUAGAUUUUUUUAUAAUACUUAACGACUAAAGUUAACGGAAAGACUAACUAGUAAAUUUUUUAAAAUAUCAGAGACAUUUUAAUGAAUUUUUAAAAUGGCGAGCAGUGAUCGAUGACGAACAAUAUCACAAAAAAUAUUUAUAUUGAGUUUUAACUUUGUAUUUUUAAUAAUUUAAAUUUUAUAUAUUUUGAUUUUUAUUAUUUUUGCUGAAUUUGAAUCUUAAAUUUAUUAAAAUUUUUAUUUGUUUAUAGAGAUUGAGUUUGAGAUUUUCUUCCUUGAAUUUUGACGAAAUUAAACUUUAGGGACUAAAAUGUUGAAUUCAAAAAAAUAGAGGGACAAAUAUGUUAAUUAUGUAAUAUCUUAGGGACAAAAAUGUAUUUUUUCCUUCAAUUCUUUGAGAGAGGGACCUAUAAAUUUGUAGGAAUUAAAUUUUAGGAACUAAAGUAUUGAGUUCUAAAAAGGGUAAUUCGGUCAUUUUUCCUAUCACUAACGGCAUUUUUGAUGGAGGGACCUCUAAUUUUGACGGAAUUAAACCUCAGGAACGAAAGUAUUGGGCUCUAAAAAUAGAGGGACGAAUAUAUUAAUUACGCUAUACCUCAUAGACUAAAAAGUAAUUUUCUCUAAAAUUAAUUAUAGAUUUUGAAAUAAAAAUUAGUCAAAUCACAUAUUAAUUUUUAUAUAAUUUUUUUAAAUAUAAAAAUAGUAAUAUCUCAAAUUUAAAUUUUCUUAUCUAUUCAUUAUUUUGAUAUAUUUAUUUUAAUAUUAAUAAUGAUGUAUAAUAAUAUAUUUUAAUAAAAAAAUAUAAAAAAAUAUUAUAUCGUUUCAUUAAUUUUUUAUUUCAAUAUUUUAUAGUUUAAUUUGUAUCACAGUUAUUUUUCGUGAUAUCACACUGUUAUAAAUAGUAAUAACUGCAAAUAUUAUGAGAAAAAUAUUGAUAAAAAAAUUAAAUAUUAUUUUAACAGAAAUAAAAUUACAACUUAAAAAUGAAAAAUUAAUAAAAUUAUGAAAUUUUUUUAUUUUUGUAUUCAAAAUAUUAAUUAAUAAUUAUAUUUUAUAUAUUACAUCAAUAUUUUUUAAUUAUAUCUAAAAAUUAUCGAUAUUUAUUAAUAAUAUAAUAUUUUUUAGUCGUUGUGGUAUGUUAACAGUGGCUUAUCUUAUAUAUAAAUAUAUUGGGAAAAUCCAAGUAAUGUUGAUUAAGUGUUAAAUUAAGCAAAAGGUGAGGUCUUCAAUAAAUUAUAAAAUAGAAGACAUUCGUGCAUGUGACUUUUGCUUAUGUAUUUGUCAACUUUUACAUGAAGUAUAGAAGAAGUUUAAUUAGCUUAGAUUUAAAAAUUUUGCAUAAUUUAAAAACAGAAUCCAACCAAGAUAUCAUCUUCUAAAGUGAUAUUCAUAUGAUGUGAAUGAAUGUUUUCUAAUGUAACCAAAUGUAACGGUCAGCGGUGUAUUUUCUUUCUGGAAACCGUUCAAUAUCAAAAAAUAAUAAAAAAUCAAAAUUAUAUAUGAUAGAUCGUAUAAAAUUAUUAAAUAAUUUUGAUUAAUCAUUUUGGGCUAAAUGGAAAAUGAAUUUAAAAGUUAUUUGAGUCAAUUUAGACUAAACUGUUUCAAUUGGUAUCAGAGUCACUUUAGAUCAGAUAAAUUAUUCAGAAUUAGUGGAUCUGUGAAAAAAACAAUACUCGAGGAUCCGGUCUUGGUUAGUAAUCGUAACCCAUUCAUUUACAAUGAGAAUAUCACAAAUUUAGCGGAAUCGAGUGUAACAGUCAGCUCUGCUUCUGCUGCGAAAGCCAUACCACAUCGGCAGAUAAUAAAAAAUCAAAAUUAUAUAUAAUAAUUAGCACGAANNNNNNNNNNNNNNNNNNNNNNNNNNNNNNNNNNNNNNNNNNNNNNNNNNNNNNNNNNNNNNNNNNNNNNNNNNNNNNNNNNNNNNNNNNNNNNNNNNNNNNNNNNNNNNNNNNNNNNNNNNNNNNNNNNNNNNNNNNNNNNNNNNNNNNNNNNNNNNNNNNNNNNNNNNNNNNNNNNNNNNNNNNNNNNNNNNNNNNNNNNNNNNNNNNNNNNNNNNNNNNNNNNNNNNNNNNNNNNNNNNNNNNNNNNNNNNNNNNNNNNNNNNNNNNNNNNNNNNNNNNNNNNNNNNNNNNNNNNNNNNNNNNNNNNNNNNNNNNNNNNNNNNNNNNNNNNNNNNNNNNNNNNNNNNNNNNNNNNNNNNNNNNNNNNNNNNNNNNNNNNNNNNNNNNNNNNNNNNNNNNNNNNNNNNNNNNNNNNNNNNNNNNNNNNNNNNNNNNNNNNNNNNNNNNNNNNNNNNNNNNNNNNNNNNNNNNNNNNNNNNNNNNNNNNNNNNNNNNNNNNNNNNNNNNNNNNNNNNNNNNNNNNNNNNNNNNNNNNNNNNNNNNNNNNNNNNNNNNNNNNNNNNNNNNNNNNNNNNNNNNNNNNNNNNNNNNNNNNNNNNNNNNNNNNNNNNNNNNNNNNNNNNNNNNNNNNNNNNNNNNNNNNNNNNNNNNNNNNNNNNNNNNNNNNNNNNNNNNNNNNNNNNNNNNNNNNNNNNNNNNNNNNNNNNNNNNNNNNNNNNNNNNNNNNNNNNNNNNNNNNNNNNNNNNNNNNNNNNNNNNNNNNNNNNNNNNNNNNNNNNNNNNNNNNNNNNNNNNNNNNNNNNNNNNNNNNNNNNNNNNNNNNNNNNNNNNNNNNNNNNNNNNNNNNNNNNNNNNNNNNNNNNAAUGAGUGUGACUUUAGAGGAUCCAUUGCUUCUUGGCUGAGUAGACAAGGAUAGUGGAGAAUGGAGAAGCUUUUUUCGUAGCCGGCAGGCUGACGUGGAGGCACUUUCCUCCAAGAUAAUUGGAGCGUUUCAUACACGCGCCAUGCAUAUGUAUCAUGCAGUAUUUUUUGGAGCAUGCAUUACUUUGCUAUUCACCCUAAGUGUGGUGUCUAAAUAUAGGAAUACAGCAAAUGGUUGUACUAAAAAUAAAUAAAUAUGAAGGAAAAAAAAUAAAAAAAAGGAAAAGAAAACAUAGUAUUGCUCUUUUCUGUUUGGUGGAAGGGAAAAUAUUUGCUCUACAGACAGAACUUUUGAUUCAUGUCAUUGAGAUAUGAGAGGAAUGAUUUUCUUUUUUACCCUUGUAGUUUUUACUGAGGAGUAUAUAGUGGCAAACAGUAUCAUAUAUCAUCAAAUUUAGAGGAAAAAAAUCAUUUUGUUUAAGACUUAUACUUUAUUUGGUAUUAUUAAUAGAGUAGUGGUUGAGAAAAAGAGUGCUCCCAUUGGUUGAGACUACUACUCUUGAAGUUGAUUGGAUUGCAUUCAUUGAUUGUGCAGUCUUUGUUAAUGCUUAUUUAUUCGGUUUUGCAGCAGUAUUUGAGAACUUGAAAGACUUCUUUUCCAUUGCAAUUUCGGAUUUUUAUGAGGGGAGUGGGUAACCUGUUAAGUUUUGGCCUUGCGUCAAUAUUUAUCUUAUGUUAGAGAUUGUUUUCUUCAGACUGAUUGUAUUUUUACGGAUAACCAAUCCUUAGUAUUGGCUAUUCGCUCUCCUCUGGAUGACUUUUCGGAAUUUGAAUUAGUUGUUUCUAAUUGUAAGGAUGUUAUGCGGUCUCAUGGUAAUAUUCAUAUUCGUUGGGUAUGGCGUUCAGAAAAUAGAGCCACCCAUUUAUUAGCUAGAGAGUCUAUUCAUCAUAGUAGAUUUAAGAUUUGGAUUGACAUUCUUAAUGGUCUCUUGGAUUAUUAUCCUACAAGUCUUUCUUAAUUAAAAAAAAAAAAUAAAAUUGAUUGAAAAUUAUUUUUAAUAUAAUUUAAUUAUAAGAAUACAAUAAAGUUGAGACAUAUGUAACUAUCAUAUCAUAAUAUAAGAGAAAAAAAUAAAUAUAAAAAUUUUAAAUAAUUUCACUAUAAUAUCUCUCGACAAAAUAAAAAUAAAAUUUUAUUAGCGUGUGAUCUAAUUUAUUUAAAUUCUUAAAUUUUAAUCUCAAUCACUUUAUUUAAAAAAUGGUUGAUUUGAUAUGAUGUGAAUUUAAAUGAAUUGAAUUUUUUUUAUAAUUUAAGAAUUUAAUCUAUAAAAAAAUAUAUUUAAAAUUUAAAUUACGCUAUAUAAUUAAUAAAUAUAUAAGUAACUCAUUGGUAAGUGUAUAUGAAUAAAUUUAAAAGGUCUUAAAUUCUACUUUUUCAAUCUCUAAACUCCGAUACUCAUUUUAGAAGAAAAAAAUUAACAAAUGUCAAAGUAAUAAAAUAAUUUUUUCCAAAUUAUUUUUGUCUAACAUCUAGAAUGAUAUUUCCUGCUUUUCCAGGUAAGUAAUAAAGAUCAAGAUUACUUAAUCAAAAGAAAAACCUUUUUUUUCUGAGAUGAAUAAUGCAACUGCCAGAGAAAGCAAGCCAUAAACUGUGAGGCUGUGAGAUCUAAAGCUUCAUUUAAUUAUAAUUCCUGAAGAAAGAUAAGAAAGAAUCAGGUUCUCUCCUUCCUUCUUUGUACUAUGUAGUAUACAUGCAUGGACAUGGUUCCAGUUUAUGGCAGAAAGUCACCCAUUUUCUCUUUUAUUUUUCUUUCCUAAUUCUUUUCUCAUUCUUUUUUUUUUCAAAAAAAGAAUUAUCUGCAGUGCAUUUCAAAGGACUGUUUAGAUUCGGUUAAAAAUUUUAAUUAAUAUCGUUUAAUUAAAAUGAAAUAAGAGAAAAAAUAAAUUAAAAAAUGAAAAUUUUUAUUUAAAUUUUUUAAAAAUUAAAAAGUGAGUUUCUAAUAGAUAACGAAACUGUUUAUAAUAUAAACAAAAUUUUAAUAUGUAAAAUUAUAAAAAUAUUUAAAAUAUCUAAAAAAAUAAUUAAAAUAUAAAAUUGACUUUCUAAACGAUAAAAUUUUUAUAUUAAUUUUUAUCACACUUUUAAAAGUCUGCGUCUUGAAAUUUUCUUUUCAAAAAAUUAUCAUGGAUUCCCAUAAGAUGUUAGCAACAAAAAGUUAAGUUCGAUUUAAAUUUGCAAUAACAUUUAGGACUAAUUGCUAUAUGUCACACUCUUUAUUAUUGGAAUUGACAAAAGGAUAAAAAAACAAAAAUUACUCAGAAAAUUAAAUAAAAAUAAUUAAAAAGAUUAGACUUAUAAAUUGCUAAAGAAAUAAACUGAACAUAUAUGAAAAAAAAAUUAAUUAAUAAAUUUUAUUGCAUCACAGAAAUUAAAUAGUUAAUUUUUGGCUUUUGAAGUGAAAGAUGAAAAGCAAAUAAUGUUUGCUUUAACUUUAGAGCAGUCUCUUUAAGACAAUUCCAUUUUAUAGUAAAGCUCAAAUGCAAAUUAAACAUAGACAAGGUGUUGGUCCGAAGGCUGUAAGGGAAAGUUUAUAUAUCAAAAUAGAAAAGCUUCCCUCUUCUAUGCAAUCUAUUCAUACAAACACAAUCAUACACUGAUCAUUCAAACUAUUAUCUCUGUCUUUUUAUUUCUCAUUUUGAUAGCUUUUUUUUUUUUAAAUAAAUAAAUGAUGUUUUAUGAUUUCAUUAUUUUAUUAAAUAUUUUAUUUUCUGAUUUAAUACUCUUUAAUAAGUGAAAUAUUUUUAAAUAUUAAUUCAUUACCUUUAUUCUAUUUAUAUAUGUAUUUUAAUUAAGAGUAAUAUAGUAUUUUUUAUCUAUUUUUAUUAAAAUUAAAUAUAGUUAUUUCUUUUUUAAUUCAUAUGAAAAAACUUAAAAAGACAAAAAAAAAAAAAGAAAAGAAAAGAAAGAGUAUACAAAAUCGCACAAAAAUUAUUUAUUGAAGGGGUGUAACACAUUUACUCUCAAGAUGGUUCAUAAAAUUCUAAUAGAAGAAAAAUGAGUUCGUAUUAUCGGUCUCACUUAUUUAAAAUAUUUAUGAUUCACUUUAAUUCAUAAUAAAUUGUAUUAUCGAUCUCACUUAUUUAAAAUAUUUACGACUCACUUUAAUUCAUAAUAAAUUGUAAUAGUUAGAGGUUAGUAUUCGAUUCAAACUGAAAAAAAUUAAAUUAAUUUAAAAAUUUGAUUCGAUUUUUUAUUUAUUUCAAUUCGGUUCGAUUUUUAAUUUUAAAAAUUUUGAUUGUUUCAAUUUGAUUUAAUUUUAAUUAAAAAAUUAAAAAAACUAAAUCGAUUAGUAAUAAUAAUAUAUUAUUUUUAAUAAUAUAGAGAGAUUAGAUUUAUGUAAAAAAUAAAAAAUUUAUUAAAAAUUUAAAUCGAUCAAACCAAAUUAAAUUGAAUUAAAUCAAUUCAAUUUGAUUUGAUUUCUGAUCAAAAUCGAUUCUGUUCGAUUUUCAUAAAUACUAAAAUUUUAAUUUUCAAUUUGUUCGAUUUGGUUUAAUUUUGAUCCGAACCUCACCCCUAGUAAUAGUCAUUGCAAAAAUCAGGGGAUACAUUUAUGGUUGGCAUUUAUCAAAAGCAACAGAACAAUGCAGCAAUUUUAAAUGAUUGAAAGUGCAAUCCCAAGUCCAACAUCUCUCAUUCAAAGCAAUAAAGAGACAUCCUUUGAUUAAAGCUAAAGGGCAUUUUCGUCAUAUGAAUAAAGAAAUAAAGAGAAAGAAAGAGCAGCAGCAGCAUCCAACUUUACUUUUUCUCCCCCUACACUCUCAACUUUAAAUUUCUGUUAUCCAACGGCUUUAUUAAUUUCAUUUCUUUAAAUACAUAGUUACUAUUCCUUAAAAUUAAAUAUUUUUCCUUUCUCUUCCUUCUCUUUACUUGUUAAAUAUAAAUAAAAGAAAGUGAAGGAAAAGAAUGAACGGAAAAGAGAAGUAAAGGGGAGGCUUAGCUUCUUCCUUCUACUUGACGACUCUUUCUGUGAAGAUGUUUGGUUCUUUAAGCCCAUGCACACUUGAAGUUUCUCAGAUUCCCUUCACUUUUCCUUCUUUUGUAGAAAAUCCAUCGAUACCCAAGUGCUUAAAUCCCUUUGUCUUUGCUUCAAAUCCUUCCAAAUUCAAUUCCCCAGAGUAAAUUUUAAACAAAAUAUGGUCCCCUUCAUUGCUUUAACUCUCCUGUCUCUUCUAAGCUCUUCUUGUUCUUCUUCUUUAGUCAAUGAUUUUAACGUUUUAAUCGUGCUUAAACAAGGAUUUGCAUUCCCUGAACCAGUCUUGAGCACGUGGAAUUCGUUGAAUUCAAGCUCAGUUUGCUCUUGGGCUGGAGUUGGUUGCUCUCGUGGGCGAGUUGUGUCAUUGGACUUAACAGAUUUGAAUUUGUCAGGUUCUGUUUCACCUCAGAUUUCAAGGCUUGAUAAGCUCUCAAACUUAUCUCUUGCAGGGAACAACUUCACUGGUAUUAUUGAGAUUUUCAGGUUGAGUAAUCUUCGGUUUCUUAACAUCUCAAACAAUCAGUUCAAUGGUGGUUUGGAUUGGAACUAUUCAGAAAUGGAAAACUUAGAAGUGUUUGAUGCUUACAACAAUAACUUCACUGCCUUUCUUCCUCUUGGGAUUUUGAGCUUGAAGAAACUCAAGUACUUGGAUCUUGGUGGAAACUAUUUUUAUGGCAAAAUCCCUGCAAGCUACGGGGAACUGGUGGGAUUGGAGUAUCUUUCACUUGCAGGAAAUGAUCUUCAUGGAAAAAUCCCUGGCGAGUUAGGAAACUUAACUAACUUGAGGGAGAUUUACUUGGGGUAUUACAAUGUUUUUGAAGGUGGGAUUCCUGCAGAGUUUGGAAAUUUUGUGAAUCUAGUUCACAUGAAUUUACCAGAAUGUGAGCUAGAUGGUUCAAUUCCAAGGGAGCUUGGAAACCUGAAGCUGCUCGAUACUCUAUAUUUGCACGCCAAUCAUUUUUCAGGUUCUAUUCCAAAGGAGUUAGGCAACCUGACAAACUUAGUGAAUCUUGAUCUUUCCAACAAUGCACUCUCUGGUGAAAUCCCAUUUGAGUUCAUCAACCUCAAGCAAUUGAAGCUCUUCAAUCUCUUCUUGAAUAGACUACACGGUUCCAUUCCUGAGUUCAUCACGGAAUUGCCUAAUUUGGAGACAUUGGGGCUAUGGAUGAACAAUUUCACUGGUGAGAUUCCUCAGAAACUUGGCCAAAAUGAGAAGCUUCAGGUUCUUGAUUUGUCCUCAAAUAAGCUCACAGGUACAAUUCCAAAAGACUUGUGUUCCUCUAAUCAGUUGAGGAUUCUAAUUCUCUUGAAGAAUUUUCUGUUUGGUCCAAUUCCUGAAGGUUUGGGGAAAUGUUAUAGUCUCACUAGAGUGAGGUUGGGGCAGAACUACUUGAAUGGCAGCAUACCAAAUGGCUUCAUUUACUUGCCUCAGUUGAAUUUAUUAGAGUUGCAGAACAAUGUCUUGUCAGGAAAAUUAUCAGAGAAUGGUGAUAGUUCAUCUAAACCUGUUAAAUUAGGCCAAAUCAAUUUGUCAAACAAUCUCCUCUCAGGUUCUUUGCCAUUUUCGCUUUCCAAUUUCUCUUCCCUUCAAAUCCUUCUGCUCAGUGGAAAUCAAUUCUCAGGUCCAAUUCCACCUUCCAUAGGAGAACUCAAUCAAGUUCUAAUGCUUGAUCUUAGUGGAAAUUCACUUUCAGGUUCAAUUCCACCUGAAAUAGGAAACUGUUUCCAUCUCACUUCCCUUGACAUGAGCCAGAACAAUCUCUCUGGUUCAGUUCCACCAGAGAUAUCCAACAUUCAUAUCUUGAAUUACUUGAACUUGUCUAGAAAUCAUUUGAACCAAACAAUACCAAAAUCCAUUGGUUCCAUGAAAAGCCUAACUGUUGCUGAUUUCUCUUUCAAUGAUUUCUCCGGGAAGGUGCCGCAAUCCGGUCAGUUUUCCCUCUUUAAUGCCUCAUCUUUUGCAGGAAAUCCUCAACUCUGUGGUCCUCUCCUUAACAAUCCUUGCAAUUCCACCGCCAUCACAAACACACCAGGAAAAGCCCCCAGUGAUUUCAAGCUCAUUUUCGCUUUAGGCCUGCUUAUAUGCUCUCUGAUAUUUGCAACUGCUGCAAUAAUCAAGGCCAAGUCUUUCAAGAAAAACAGCUCAGAUUCUUGGAAGCUGACAGCUUUUCAAAAGCUAGAAUUCUCUGUCACAGACAUCCUGGAAUGUGUGAAAGAUGGAAAUGUAAUUGGCAGGGGAGGAGCUGGGAUUGUAUACCAUGGAAAAAUGCCAAAUGGGGUUGAAAUUGCAGUUAAAAAACUACUUGGUUUUGGCACCAAUAGCCAUGACCAUGGCUUUAGAGCAGAAAUUCAAACACUAGGCAACAUUAGACAUCGAAACAUCGUUAGAUUGCUUGCUUUCUGCUCUAACAAAGAAACCAAAUUGCUGGUUUAUGAAUACAUGAGAAAUGGAAGCUUAGGAGAAGCCUUACAUGGCAAAAAAGGUUCUUUCUUGACUUGGAAUUUGAGGUACAAAAUUGCCAUUGAGGCUGCUAAAGGCCUAUGCUACCUCCACCAUGAUUGCUCACCAUUGAUUGUUCAUCGAGAUGUAAAAUCCAAUAACAUUCUGUUGAAUUCGAGCUUCGAAGCACACGUAGCAGAUUUUGGAUUAGCAAAGUUCCUUGUUGAUGGGGGAGCAUCAGAAUGUAUGUCAGCAAUUGCAGGGUCUUAUGGCUACAUUGCACCUGGUAAGUUCAUUUUCUCAUACAUUAGAAAUGCUUGCUUUCUAUUUUGUGCACAAGUAUACUUAAUGUCUCCUGAAACACACCCUUCAUGAGCUGCGAACAUGCUAAAAAAGUAAAGCGGCUAACAGCCGUAAUAGAUAUUUCAAUACUCAAAUCAGUAUUUAAUUUAAAUGGACGAUAAAUAAUUACCUAGUUAAAUUAAUUAUUUUGAGUCUACGUAAUUUCAAAAAUUCUGUGAACAUCAAGAACUCAAGAUGAACAGCAAUAAUCUGAUGUUCCCAAGGUCCAAGCCACAUAUCUGACUUUUGAUUCCUAGUUUUAUCACAAAACCUUCCAACAAAGUUUUUGAUCCCUGGUAAGUUCUAUUGUACAUGAUACUGUCUCUGCCUCUCUCUCUGUGCUAAAGUGACAGCAGUUAAAUCAAUGACUAGCUCAGUGAAAAACCACCAGCGGUUUGUGCCAAAGAGAGAGGCACGUAGAAUUUUUUUGGUUUUCACAACACAGAAUCACAGAAAGAAAAGAGCUGAUGCACUUUGUUGGGACCCACAAAAAAAAAAAAAUCUGAUAUUGCAAUCUUAGAGGUCUAAAUCUGACACAUAUAGACUACUUUCAGUCUGACAAUGAUUCUAACGUAACAGCACAUUGAGAUUAGUGAAAGCUAACCGACAAUGCACAACUAUUUACAACACUAAUCUUUUUUUGCACUACAUGACUUUGGUCUUACGUGUAAAGUGUACUUUCCUCUUUCUUCUUCUUCCCACCUUCCAGUCUUCUUUGGCAAGUUGACAUCUCUUUUUGUCUCUAACCUUUUACCUAAUUCCAAUGUUUUUUUUAGGCACUUUCCUUAAUCCCAACAUGAAGAGAUGUUGAAAAUUGGACUGUAGUGGUCUUAUGGGCUUAGCCCAAAUUGGGUCGAAUAGACUUUCGAAAUUUGAUCACUACAGAUUUUCAUACGUACUUCGCCAACCCAUCUAAUUUAAUGGGUGGUUGGCAUCAAAGGAACUAAUGGUUUUCUUACAUGUCAUUGCAGAAUAUGCAUACACAUUGAAGGUGGAUGAGAAGAGUGACGUAUAUAGUUUUGGAGUUGUUCUCUUGGAGUUGCUAACAGGACGGCGGCCAGUGGGCGAUUUCGGUGAAGGGGUGGAUAUUGUACAAUGGAGCAAGAGCGUGACAAAUAAUCGGAGGGAAGAUGUGUUGCAAAUUGUUGAUUCAAGACUAACAAUGGUUCCCAAAGAUGAAGUAAUGCAUCUGUUUUUCAUCGCAAUGUUGUGUUGCCAAGAAAAUAGCAUUGAACGCCCCACUAUGAAAGAAAUAGUUCAAAUGUUGUCCGAAUUUCCUCUUCAAUCCUCAAAUUAUCAUUCUUCAUCGUCUUCUAUUGUCUCUCAACAAUUGAAAAUUGCGGAAAAAGAGAAAAUUCAUGCAAAACCCACACAAGAUCUUUUAGUUUAAGAGCUUGAAUAGUUCUUUUUUCCUUAGAAAUUUAAGGUGUCUUUUUAUUGGCUUGAUUUUUGUUAUAGCUUUUCUUUUUUGGUUCCUCUCUUUGUUGAUAUGCAAAGUAUAUUUUCUUUCUAAUUCAUGGGCUUAGAAUUAGGCAUAGGAGAUCUCGUGACCAUAUAGAUAUAGGAAUAAUUUGUGGGUUAGACUUCUUUUUUAAGGAGUGUUCUCUGUAGGUGGAGAGCUUGCAAGCUUUUACUAAUGGUUCAUGCAAGCUCUUUGUAUUAUAUAUAUAUAUAUAUAUACUCUCGUCUCUAUACAAAUGCUAUAUUUGAUUGUUGUCUCUAUACAAAUGUUUUAAAGCAUGCUUGUGUGUAUUUAAUUGACUUUUUACAAAAAAAAUUUCAUUUUUUUUUUUGACAUUUGAAACAUCCAUAAAAUUUAGUCAAAAUAUAUAAAUAAAUCAAAUUAUUCGAUACUCGACUCGAUAAAAGUUCGAACAGUUCUGAUUCAUUUUUGAAAUGAGCCAAAUUCAAACUCAACUUUUUGACUCGUUUAAUAAACGAAUUAAAUUUAAAUUCAGUAGUGUUUAGUUUAGUAGAUACUCUUUUUAUACCUUUAAAAAAUAUCUACAUUCAAUAUCUUUUAAUUUGCUAUUAUUAUUAUUACUACUUUUAUAUGUUUAUAUAUAUACUUUUAUAAUUAUUUUCAUAUUUAAUAUUAUUUAUUUAAUUUUAUAAAUUAAAAUUUUUAUAUAAUUUAAAUCUAAAUUAAUAUAAUUAUAUCGAUAAAGUUUGAGUAUAAUAUAUAUAUAUAUAUAAUUAUAUAAUUUAAGUUGAUUAUUCUUGUAUUUAUUUUUAUAUAAUAUUUUAUAUAUUGUAUUAUAUAUAUAGUAUUUUUUUAUAAUACAAAAUAAUCUAAUAUAAUUAUAUAUUUAAUUAAAAUUAAAUAAUAAUAUAUUAAUAAAUUUAAUAUAAAAAUAUUCAAUAUUAACAAUAAAAUUUAUAUAAUUUUAAUCAAAAUUAUGUAAUUUAAAUAGAAAUACUCUCUCCCUCACUUAGGUAUCAUUCAUACAUAGGAUUAUAUAUUUAUUAUAUAUUUUUUAAUUAAUUUUUUAUAAAAUUUAAUAUAAAUAUUUAAAUAAAUAAUUUUUAAACUCAAUAUUAUAUUGUUAAUAUUAUAUUAAAUACAUUUUAUAUAAUUAAUUAGAAGUUUUAUAAAUAGUAUUUAAUAAAAAAAUAAUAUUUAAAGUUAUAAAUAAAUAAAUAUUGAAACUUUAAAAUGUUUAAUAUUUUGUUAUAUAAUAUUUUUUUUAUUUAAAUAGUAAAAAAAUAAAAAAGAAAAAAAAUAAAUUUCAACAAAACCUAUUUACUGGAAAUGAAACUCAAAAAACCACAGCAAAGAAAGCUCCAAAGCUUUAACCACUAGACCAUAGACCGCUUAUCGCCUAACAAUCCACGUAUGAUGACAUAUGCGUGGGCAAAUUAGUUGCUGAACCAUUUCCCAUCCCACAUCGGAAGUUUACGGGGAUGGAGGGGUAAAGUUUUUCUAUAAAUAAAGAAUUUUCUUUGUUAUUAUUUAAAUUAAGAUUUUAGCCAGAUGGGAUUCUAAAUAAAUUAUAUUUAGUUUUAUUUAAAAUUUCAAAAAAAUUUAAUUUUUUUUUAAAUUAGAUGAUUAACUAAUAAUUUUCGGCUAAAUAAUAAAAUUUUCAAAGAAAUAAAAAGGUGUGUGUCCUUUUCAAUGUGGAAAUGAUUAUAUGGAUAAAUUAAUGUUUACUUUUAUUGACAAAAUGCCUAAUGACAAAAAUCCCACCCACCCACUUGCUAGCCUUCCUGGCUGUGUCAUCAUAUGCUAAGCACUGCUGGAGUUAAUUGCCAUAUUCUUAUUUUGUGAACUGCUGGAGUUUCUUCCUCAUGCUGCCCAAUCGCAUUUUCCUUCUCACUAUGCUUUUGGCCUUCUGCAACCACGUACUCUCUGCAAAUCCAGGCUGAGAUUUGUUGAUUAGCCUCCUUUAUCAGCAAAAAUUACUCUGAUGUCUCUACUGUUUCAACCUUCCCGUCCACCGCCUCCUCAUGCAUAUUUUCCCUUGGCAGAACUGUCAUGAUCGAGAAAUUUUAUGAUACUACUGUAUGUACGUGCAUGGGACUUAACAUGAUCAGUUGGUGAAAGGAUUAAGCCUCAGGUAAAACACAAGCACUCCUUAAAAGCUUUCUUCUGUCAGAAAUCAGAGAUGGUUGCUAAUUAAUAAGGUAAGCAUUAAUUCAAGAUUCUUUCUCAAACAAGUUCCUACCUUGAUUCUUGUCUGAUGUAGUUGCUGUGAAUCUCUGCCAAGAAGAUGACAUUGAGCAUAUUGCGCAGUUGGGGUCGUGUGAUCCUACCAUGGCACCAACAUCACUUGUAAGUGAAAUAUAGAAGUUAAUAUAUAUCGAAGUAUUGUGAUCUAUUUGAUUCUUAUAAUUUUCACAUUUCUAUGCCUAGAUGCUGGUAGAGCUGCAAGAAAUUGCAACUAUUUGUAAGAAGAGAAAUAAUUGAAUGGGCAAAAUAAUUAAAAAAAAAUUUCUAUUUGAUAUUCUAAAAUUCAGAAAAUAGAGUUUACCGAAUGUAAACUUAGUCGGGGAGAAUUACGUUAUUCCUUCUUUUUUAUUCUCUAGUAACACAUAACCGCCACCCAGAUAUAACGGAUGAGUCAAAGUAUCCCUCUAUACCAGGUGGCUAUUUAAUUCCUCCCGGUAGGCUGCGAGGUGAUUGGGUUUGCUUCCCUUCGUGCGUGAUCAGUCCAAUUCACUUCACAUUAUAGGAAUGUUGGGCCGACCUACGUACAUGUGGUUUGAUAGGUUAUUCUUUUUCAGAGUUCAAUCUCGUCCCAAAAUGUGAGAAAUUCGGCGGUCAUCACUAUUUAAUCCCUAUAUUAUAAAAAAAUUCAUUGGUCAGUUUAUUGAUUUUAAAAAGUAAAUUAAAAUAUUUCUGAAGUUUUUAAAAGUAUAUUCAUUAAUACCUCUAUUAUUUUAUUAUUUUGUGUUAAAAAAAAUUUCAAAUAUUCUAAUACGAAAAGAUUAAUUAGUAAAUAUUUUUAUAAAACAAAAUCAACUAUUAAUAAUUUUUUUAAUGAAGAAAAUAAUUAAAAUAAUUAAUUAAUAGAUUUUUACAAUACCUCAUAAAUGUUUUAAUAUAUUUUUUAAAAUAAAAAAUCAACUGAUUAAAUUUUUCCAAACCAAAUAAACUAAACAGUGAAUUUUUCAAUAAUAAAUUAACAUACAUGGUGAGUAGGGUUAAGUAAUUGGAGAGAGAGAAUUAUAAAGAGAAACCAGGAAGAGAAAGAGAGAGAUUUAGAUUGAGUGCUGAGGCCUUCUCUUCCAAUUCCAUUUCCUUUUCUUCCUCCUCAUAAUCUAUGAUCCUUCUCUUAAUGUUGUUAUGUGGGUGACACAAGAGACUUAAAAAAUCAUGGCAGUUGUCCAAUCUUUGAAGUGGAGGUUGCUGUUCCUCAUCAUUUCUGCUUCUCUUUUUAUUUCUACUGUAUAUUGGAUGGAUCCCACACCCAAUAAUCUCCACUAAAUUUUCAUCAGUGGAGUGAAAUGAAGCCUCAACGAAACACUCUUCAUCAACAGAUUGAAGCUUAUUAUCACUGAACCAAAGCACUGCGUGUUCUGAUGAAUACUUAAAAUAAGACAGACGAUAACCAAAUAGAAAGAAAUCAUGGCUAUGUCUUUGUCCAGAUUUGCCCAUCAAAACCAUUCUGCAUGUGAUGCCCUUUCGAAGAUCAAAAUAAUAAUUUGUGGGAUCAACAACAGCUGUGGGAAUCACUGCGCAGAAAGAGAAGGCAAUUAAACGACAAGGGUCGAGUUUGAAUGAAAGAGAUGAUCCACUUCUGUUCUUGAAUCUCAUCGUUUCUGGUAUUUCACUUCCUGCCAUGUAUAAACUCGCUUUCUGACCCAACAGAUGUGCUUCAAAAACAUCCUCCAUUACUUUCUUCUUGUGUUUCAAAUUGAUGCAAUCUCCAAACACAAGAAAUUUGUCGUUUGCAAAAUAAUCUUCAUCUUCACUUUUAUCUGCUUCUUCUUCUUCUGCUUCACCAUCUUCAUCUUCAUCUUCAUCUUCAUGUUCUAGGAAAAGGAAUGAAGUUGAUGCAGAUUCCAGAGAGAUACAGUCUGAUGCGUUCACGUAUUCCAAACGUGGUGGAAGCUCUGGUAACCAUUUAAGGCUCUUGCAACCUGUUAAAUUAAGCCGUCUUAACUUUGUGAGUUGCUUGAUACUUUCUGGAAGACUUUGUAACUUUGAGCAUCCACAUAGAAAAAGCUCUUCAAGACGUUUUAAUUUGCCAAUGGUGCUUGGAAGAUUCACAAGUCUUGUACACCAAAUCAAGGACAGAUUGAAAAGUUGACGCAGAUGUUCAAUUGAUGAAGGCAGUUGUUGUAUUCCAGUUUCAUCUAAUUUUAGUUGAGUAAGCUUGCUCAGAUUCUGAAGAGAUGAGGGAAUCUCAACUAAACUUCUACAUCCCAUCAAAAAUAAGUACUCAAGAUUUGAGGCACUGGCAGACAAGUCUGGAAUCCUCAUCAGAUCCUCAGAAUAGCUGAGGUCUAUCAAUUUCAGAUUUCCAAGUGGCUGUGUAACAAAAGAGAAAAUAUCAACAAUUAGAAUUAACAAAUUAAAUUUACAAUUAUAGUAGUGUUAUGAACUCUACUACCUUUUCUUCAUUCCACAAUUCUAUGAGUUUGCUAGAACGCAUAUGAAGUUGCACAAGAUUCCUGGGGCAAAAAUUUAAUGGCAAAGAUGUUAAAGGAUAAUGAUUCCAGUAAAGAUAUCUUAGCUUCUGUGGAAGAAAUUCAAGGUCAUUAGGAAGAAGCACUUGUCCUCCAUUGUAACACUGAAUUUUGAGGAAUCUAAGAUUGCACAUCCUCAUGAAGGCUGUGGAACUUAUCACCAACUUAUCCUUCUUAUGCAUGUCAAGCAAUAUGCCUUCAACAUUUUCAGUUCCCUGAUAAAAUAACAGCAACAUUUUCAUGGAAAUUCAAAUAUGAAAAAUGGAAGAAGGUUUUAUUGAUUAAUUCAGUACUUACUGUAUCUGUUGUCAACACAUGAUGAACAUCUUCAUAAUUCCACAACCUGCUACGUCCACCAGGUUGUUUGCUUUCUUCAUUAACAAUAUCCUUACAAAGUUGCUCUAGCAAAUCAUGCAUAUCCACUUCAUUGAUUGAUGAAAUGCUUAUGAGAGAUUUACUAAUCAGCCGAGGAAUUGCACUUUUCGGGAAGAAACCAAAAGCUUCCAACGUUUUCUUCACAGAAUAUAUAUUCUCCCAUUUGAAGAAACAUGCAACGUCAAGAAAUAUUUUCUUCUCAUUCUUCUCUAACCCAUCAUAGCUUGUUCUCAUAAUAUCUUGAAUUUUUCUCAGAGAUCCACCUUUCAAUUUUUUCAACUCACUUUUCCAUUCUUCUAUCUCCAUAUCAAAUAAAUGAGAUCCCAAAACUGUAAGAGCUAAUGGGUUGCCUCCUGCAUAGGAGAUUGCUUUAAUGGAAAGCUCCAUGAAUCCUUCCUUGGGAUGAUUUUGCUUGAAUGCAUGCAUGCAAAAGAGUUUAAGAUCUUCAGAAUCUGUUAAUUUAUCAACUUCAUAUAUGCAUUCUUUUGUAGUGACAUUCUUAAGAACCUGCCAAUCUCUGCUAGUUACAAUGAUUCUACUUCCUUCAUGAUACAAACUGCAAUCUCCUGCUAAUCUUUUCAAAUGAUUUGGAUCAUCUACAUCAUCAAACACUAUGAAUAUUUUCUUGCUUUGGAGCCUUCUCCUAAUAAAAGAAUUUAAAUCCAAUAUGUCUUCAUGGAAAUUUUUUUGUCUUAACAGUCGACAAAUGAUUUGAUCUCGGACAUCGAUCGUUGGUUGCUUCAACAUGGUCUCCCUGACCUUCUCGACGAAGCAAUGGCUGUCGAAACUAGUGAUGUUUCGGCGGAAUACUUCCUGGGCAAUUGUUGUUUUACCAAUGCCUCCCAUUCCCCAUAUUCCUACAACUUGCUUGUCGUGUAAUAAUUUUUCUACUUUUUUUACUCGUGAUUCAAUUCCAACCAAAUUGCCAUCGUAAGAAUCAUCCUUUGAAGACAUAUGACUAAAUUUCUUCGUAACAUCGUUAACGAUUUCUUCUACUAAUUUAGAUUCGUACCUAAUCACAUUUAAACAAUAAAUUAUCAUAAAUAACAAUAAGUUCUAUUUUUUAAUUUAUAAUUAACUUCAUAUAAAUUAGUGAUAAUUUUUAAUAUGAUUUAAAUUUUUAUAAAUUAAAAUAAAUAAAUAAAAUUUGCAGAAAAAUUCUAUAGAUUUAAAACUAAUUUAUUAUUAAAUCUCUUUCAUGUUAUUUUUUAUCUUUGACUUUUAUUACUUUUAUAAAAUUUUCAAGAAUUCAAUAUUUAAUUUAUACUUUAUAAAUUUUGAAGAUUAAAAUGUUAUAUUUUAUAAAUAUUAAAUUAAUCACUUUUUAUAUUUACUCUCUCUCUAACUCUUUAUCUCUGUUUCUCUUCCCUUAUAUCACCAAAUUUUUUUUUUUAAUCUAUGUAUUAUUGCUUUUUUAUUGGAGGUGAAAAUUUAAUUUAUUCGAUUAAAAAAUUAAAUCGAAUCAAAGAUAUUAAAAGUUAAAAUUUUAGUAUUUAUAAAAUUAAAUUAAUUUUGGACAGAAAUUAAUUUGAAUCAAACUGAUCUGAUUCAAUUCAAUUCGAGUCGGUUUGAUCAGUUGAAUAUUUUAAUAAAUUUUUUAUUUUUUAUAUUUUAUUUUUAGUAUUCUAAAAUUUAAUUAAAAUAUUUCAAUUUUAAUGAUUAUCUAAUCUCUUUUUAAUAAUAUAUUAUUAUUACUAAUCGAUUCGAUUCGAUUUUAUUACAAUUUUUUUAUUAAAAUUAAACUAAAUCAAAAUAAUUAAAAAUUUUAAAAAUAAAAAUUAAAUUGGACCGAAGAAGAUAAAAAAUUAAACUAAAAUUUUAAAUUAAUUUAAUUUAAUUGAUUUUCUAAUUUUGAACCCAACGUAUCAACCAAUACACUCGCUCUCAUCUCUAUGCUUCACCCAAUAUACCAAUUUAUUUAUCUUUCACUGUCUUGGUUGCUCCAUAAUUUUAAUUAAUUUGUUUUACUUUGCUUUAUAGGUUUAAGGUUGGACAGCUUUAUGGAAGACAAUGAUGUGUGAAGCUCAUAUAUUCACAAACUCGAAAUUUUAUUUUAUUUUAUUUUUAUUUGAAUAGUUUUAAUUAAUUUUGAUACUAAAAAAUGUUUAUUUAGAUAUAUUUAAAUGAUAUAAUUUAAUUAUAUAUAUUAAUAAUAAGUCAGGACUUUUUUAGUGACCUAUCAAUUCUAAUACCAAUUAACAUCAAAAUAAGCUUAUUUCGUAUUUUAAUUUAAUAUUUAAAUUUUAAAUAAUUAAUAAUAAUGUUAUUUAACCAAACGGAAUAUCAUUUUAAAUCUCCAGCAUAUAUAAAAUAAAUCUAAAACGACAACAUAUAUAAAAUAAUUAAAAGUAAUAUGGCUUCUAUAAGAUUUUAUAACUGUUAAUGUAAAAUAAAAUCUAUUUAAAUCUAAAUCUCAUAUUUAACAAUUGGAUUAUUUAUCUUUAAAAUUAAAUAUAUCAGUUACCUAUGAUUAAAUAAGAGUUAACAUUAUUUUUACAUAAUUGGGUCGAACCGAAAAUUUUUAGCGAAUAAGUUUAACUUAAUUCGAACUGAAAUUAUUUUAGUCACGUCAAUAAUUUAAAGAAUAAUUAAACUAGGAUUCUGAUUUUGGAAUAAGCUAAGGAAAGAAUGUUUAAAAAGGUGAUCAACUUACUUGACAUCCUGUGAAUCCCAUCCUGAUAAAUUGCUUACUUCCAUCAAAGCAUGUCUCCAAGCAUCCACCUUGUGUAAACGACCUUCAACUUGUUCUCCAUGCACAGAUUUACCAAAUGCCUUCCCAAAAUUCCCAGUCAGCUGCUGAACAUGAGUUGGAUCUACAUGGUAGAAAACUGGCAGGACUAAUUGCCCUAAACUCUCCUUGCAUUCAAGUAUCUUAACAAGCUCAUCUAAGCACCAUGGAGAAUCUGCAUAAUUUUCAGAGAAAAUGACAAUAGAAACACAUGAUUCUUGGAUUAUUUUCAACAGAGAUGGCGAGAUCUCUUCUCCUUUAUGAAGGUUUUCGUCUGUAAAGGCAUGGAUUUGUUUCUGGUGGAAGGCUGUAGAGAGAUGGGAGAGAAACCCAUAUCUGAUUUCGCCUCUAAAAUUAAUAAAAACAUCGUAUUUGCAUGGAGAGGUUGAGGAAGAAGUAGAAGCCAUGAUAAUAAUUGGAAAAAAAAAAAAUAAAGGCAGCUGUGCAACUGUGUUUCUAAAAGAGAGCAAACUACAAGAUUUAUAUUUAAUUUGUGGGAGUUUGGUGAACCAUUGUGAGACAAUGAAUUUAUAAAGACUAGUUUUAGAUAUGAAUUAAACCAAGAAAAGAACAAGAAGAUGACGGGAAACACCAUGUUCCUUGCUUUUAAGUAUAUAUAAAUAUAUAUAUAUAUAUAUAUAUAUAUAUAUAUAUAUAUAUUGAUGACCGUGAACCCAGUCUGAGGUUGAAUAUGAUAGGAGAGUCAGACUCAAAACCCAUCAGAACCUACUAUAUAAGCUGAUCUAUCAGCAUAUCACCCAACCCGCGGAUUAAAGUAGAUCGACCAAGAGUCCGAACUCAUCAUAGAGGAAUCCAGCUCAUCUAACAUGACGAGAGUAGGAGAGCAAGCCCAGUUAUGCCGCUACCCUAUCAACACGAGCGCUGAAAGAGAAUUAAAUGGCUGCGUGACGAUAGCGGGUAGGCAGGUAGCCCGUACGUAAGUGAGUGAUAGGUAGCACUGGAGCAACAUAGCGGUUAUGCAUCACUAGAGAAAAAAAAAAAGAAAAAAAAGAGGAAAACAUGAUCUAUUCAAACUAAGUUUUUUCAUACACAUAGAAAUUCUACUUCUUUUUCGAUCUGAGAUCAUCGUAUAUAUAUUACCCGAGUAUUUAAUAUGAUUAAAUUUUUUCUUUUAAGAAAAUAUUUAUUUGAAUCUGGUUUAUCGUGAACUAAAAUAUUUUCAAAAUAUAAAUGUAAAUCCCUUAAAAAAUAGAUGUAAUUUAUUUUAAUAUUUCUUAAAUUCAUAGCGGAUCGAGUACAUCUAAGAAUUUUUCGUGACUUUAAACUCGAAAACUAUUUAAAAUGUAAUGAGAUAAGUCAAUUUACCUUUCAGUAAAGAUUUAGUUAAUAAUAUAAAUGCAAUAAAGUGAUAUGUAUACAUAUGAUCACUUAGUGCAAAGUAGCUUUUCUUUUCAAUGGCCAUUAUUAUUCUAUUGUAUUUACAUGUAUAUGUAAUUAAGGUUUUUUUUAGGAUAAAUCAAUAUUAAGUGUUUUUGAAUUUUUAAGAAAUUAACUAAUUCAUAUUUUUAAAAUCACUCAAUUAAAACAUAAUUUAUAAAAUAUAAUUUUUUUAAUCAUUCAUUAGAAAAAUAGUUAAUUGUCUUGAAUAUUUAUAUUAUUUUUAUGUAUUAUUUAAUCUCUAUAAUUUUAAAUAUUUUUAUUUGAUAAUAUUAAAACAUAUAAAUUAGUUAUUUAAAAAUUUAAUUUUAUAAAAUAUAUAAAUUAGUUUUAAUAAAGUGAUUCUAAAAUAAAAAUAAACUUAUAAAUUUGAUAGUAAUUCCCUCACUCUCGCCUAAUUUUUUUUUUUAAUUUUCAAGAUUAAAUAUUUAAUUAAAAACAUAAUAUAGAUAUGAAAUAGAAAUAAUAAAAAAACACUUAUAUUAAUAAUUUAAUUAAUAAAUAUUUAUUUCUGCCAUUUGUGUUGGUAGAGUUUUUAAUUUAGUCAAUCAACGACAAUCACACACCAUUUGCUGAUAAUUUAUUACUAUGAUCGAAGAAAACACUCAUCAGUUUAAAAAAAUAAUAGAAAAUGUCAAAAAGGAAAUCUAUUGAUCGAAAAAAAUCAAAAUUUUUCAUCAUUUAAUUUAAAUAUUUAAAAAUUAAUUUUUGGUAAUGAUGGAGUUUUUAAUUUAUCAAUCAAUAACAAUCAAACUGCUUUUGAUGAUAAUUUAUCACUAUAUAAUCAUUCUAUAAAUAAGGAUAAAUUUAAAAAUUUUAAUUUGAAUUAUACUAAUUUUUAAAAAUUUAUAUUAAAUUAUUAAAUAAUUUUUUAUGUAAAUAAAUAUUAUUCGAGUCAAAUAAAAAUAAAAAUAAAAAUAAAAUAUAUAAAUUUUUUGCGUGAGCAAACUACACUCCCCCAAUUUAAAUUUUAAAAGUUAAAUAUAAUUACAACAAAACGAAUAUAUUAACUUUUAGAUAUUUAAUUUAAAUUGAAAUAUUAAAAAAUUUUAAAUUUUCUAAAUAAAUUGGCCUAGAUGGAAAAAAAAAAAGAAACUUUUUUAGAUUUGUUUGAUUUAUUAUAUGACAAGUUGAGAAUGAGAAAUAAGAAAUUUCAAUUUACAAUCUUAAUGUUGAAGGUUCAACCAUUGACAUGGUAGCUAAUUAGUUAACAAAAAGCUUUUUUAAAAAUUUUUUUUCUUCCACUAUGGUCUUUCCACCAUGGUAAAUUAUUAAUUAAUUUUUUUUUUUUAAAGUGAAUGCAACUUCUUCCACCAUGAUCCUUUCAGUUUUUUAUUAUUAUUAUUUUAUUUUCAGAGAAUGGAGAGUCAAAUCUGAUUCUCUCCCAAUAAUUAUAAUUGGUUACGUCUUAGCCUGUUUGUUUGUAUUUUCCUUAGUGGGGUAUGCAUGCUUCUUCAAGUUUCCAACCCAACUGAAAAUUAUUAUUACGUUUAUAAAUUUUUGAAAAUUUAUUAAUUUAUUUUUAUUGUAAAGUUAUUCAAUUCAAAUAUUUAUGUAAAAUUAAACUUUUUAAUUAUAUUGAUUCGCACUCACAUACUUAGAUACGUACAGGUACGUACAGAUCCCAAUUUAGAUGGUACGUACAGAUCCCAGCUUCUACUCCUCUAAUCUUCAAUCCCUAAUUUCCAUUUCAAAAAAAAAUUAUAUUGAUUGAUUCAUUUGCAGAUUCGAUUAUGGAAAGCCCCCUCUAAUCUCCAAUCCCUAAUCUCCAUUUCGAAAAAAAUUAUGUUGAUCGAUUCAUUUGAAGAUUCGAUUAUGGAAAGCCCUUCAAAGUUUUAAAAUAAAUUAAAUAAACCCAUUAAUAUAUAUAAAAAAAAAAAUUAUAUCUUUUAUUCUAGUUAUGUCUCUCCAUCUAUGACUAAUAUCCUUUACCUCUUUUUUUUUUUUUUUCUGUACCUACUCAUCUCUUAUUAAAAUAAUUAAAAUCAGGUCAGAUAUGAUCAUAAUUGAAUUUGUGAAAACUGACUGCUAUGAAGAUAAUGGAGCAUUAUCAAUGAAUCCAUGAGAAAAACUUUUUGAAUUAUUUCAUACAUACUGAAUCAUAAAUACGUAAAUACUGAAUCGAUCAAAUGUUCACCAUGGAAGAAUUUGAGAAAGAUAAUAUUAAUACCAUUUUGAUUCAUAUCAAUUGACAAAGUAUCUAUGCAAAUACUGACACUGGAUAUGUUAUCAUUACUCUUUUGGGAAAAAUAUAUAUAAAAAUUAACACAUCCCCAAGAGAUCACUACAGAUGCUGACUAGGUAUUGUAAACAACUCUAUUACAGAGCAAAUUUAUUAUCCUCAGCAGACAAGAACCACCACUUAACUACCAGACUCAGCAUUGAUAACAAGACAAAAUCAUCUUCUCACAAAUCCCACUUAUGAAUUCAUAAUCUUUCUAUAAUCAAAAGAAAAUGCUACAUGAUGAGACUUUUGCCUUAACGAUAGUGGACCAACUUAUUUUAGCAUGAAAUGAUAAAUCUUAAAGAAAUUAAAAAGCAGCUGCCUUUCCUCAUUGGAAGACUUGAAACAAUCUCUCCCUUGGCUUGUUAGGAUUGUCUCUAAAUAAGAAUCUCCAAAAUCAAUGUGAAAACAAAGACUUAUUCAGCAAUCAAGUCAUGUUGAAGUCAAGUCUUUCAUUCUCUUUAUUGAAUUCAGCUCAAAUCACCAAAAAACUUUAACCCUUUUCAUAUCAUCUUUUUUUUUUUUUUAUAAAUUUAUUCAUCAUUUCUUUUAUUAUCUAUUCUAUUCUAACCACUAAAACUCUAUUCAACUUUUUUAUCCAACCAAACUUUCAAACAAAUUUUUUGACUAAUUCAUGUGCACACACAACAAUUCUACUUUACCAUUAAUAUUGAUAUAAACAAAACUUCACUUUAAUACCCACAAUGCAUCAAGAUCCUUUGUAGUGACAUUGGCCCUGUUCGGUAAGGUAAUACUCAGUGUUUUGACCUAGUAUCUUUUAACUUUUACCUAACCACUGCUAGAAUAAUUACCUGCUACUAAUACGGCUAACAACUACUAAAAUAGCUAAUAUUACAGAACAGGGCCAAUGUGAAGUUAUCAAAAAGUACCUACUUCAUCAAAGUUUCAACGGCAGCAUGAAUAGAACUUCUACGAGCAGAACCUUCACGCUGAACCAGUGAGUGAGGCCCACUCCAGACAGACUUAUGGUUGUCAGGGAAGAGACUUCUGCAAAGACUGAGAAGCAAGGGAUUUUCAGAAUGGAACUUCUCAAACAUUAUAGCUUUCUUCCGUCUUUCUUGUGAUUCCUGUAACCAUGUAAAAUUACGGACUCAAUAAACCAAACAAAAGACCUGACAUCAUAGUAAUAUAACACGAGCAUUUUCUUUUCACGAGAAAUUAUGUUAUGCCUGCUGUAAAGUUAUCAAUUUUGGCUAAUAUUUUUAAUUUUAUCAUUUUACCCUUGACUUUUAUGAUUGAUUUCAAUUUAAGUAACCUUGUUAAUAGGUCUCCAAAGGUGUGUGUGCCCCUUCAUAUGUAGAAUGAUGACAUGAAUGAGUUAAUAUUACUUUAUUGAUAAAAUACCUAAUGACUAAAAAUCCACCCACCCACUUGCCAGGCUUCCUAGUCACCAUAUGCUAAGCAAGCUUACUUUACAAGCCCACACACAAAUAUCACAUAAAAUUUAUCAAGUUAAUUACCAUAUCCUUAUUAUGCUGAACUUUUGGAGUUUCUUCCUCAUGCUGCCCCAUUGCAUGUCCCUUCACAUUAUGCUUUUGGCCCUCUGCACCGGCAUUCCCUGCUAAUCCAGGCUGUUGAUUAGGCUCCUCUCCUGAUCUAUCAGCAAACUCUGGUGUCUCAACCUUCCCAGUCUUUUUAAUUUCUAUCUCAUUCUCUACCUCUUCGUCCUCCUCUUCCUCAUCGUCGUCGUCGUCUUCCUCUGCCUCCUCAUGCUUCUCCUUGAUAGAACUGUUCUGCUGCUCAGUAUCCUCAAUUUUCACUCCCUGUCCCUUUCCUUCCACCUCAGCAUCUGCAUCUGGAUCUAAUGAUUCAUCCAUAUUUGAAGAUGAAUCUUCACCUCCAGGGCUUUCUACAAGUGAAGAUUCCUUCAAGAAGAGAGAGAGAGAGAGAAAACAAGUAUUAUUUUCUUAAUUUUUUGUCUUAUUCUUCUUAUAAGCAAAGAAAGAAUAGUACAAUGGGAACCAAGUUGGUGCCAACCUUAACAUAUUUGGAAAAUUAUUAACAAACAAAAAUCAAAGAAACACAUUAUAGCUAUACUUCUUGUUCAAAGGCAAAGAUCCCAGCAGUAGUUAUUGGGAUGAGACUCCAUCCUCUUCUUUCCCCCCCUAUGUGGUGAUAUGACAAACCUAUUCUAUUAUAGAAAGGGGACUACAAUCAAUUAGAAUGAACCUCAAGACUCGAGCACACUUUUAAACAUUUAUGCUUCUAGUUGGUCAACAUGUAUAUUUCACAAUUUAAAGGAACAGUCGAUACCAUUAAGCAGAUCCUCCAGCUAAUCACUCCACUAAUUAAUUUGGCUUACAAUACACUCGAACAAACGCGCAUAGAUUCCUUUAUUUCCUUCUAAUUCCAUAUUCAUACAAAACAGGAAGUGUACUACUGACAUUUACUGCAUUAGCAAAUGGGCAUUAUUGUCUUUCAGUUGAAACACGACAACAAUUAUCUUGGGGACAAAUUAACAGAGAAAUCAGUAUGCAAUAUUUAUCACAUUCAAUCAACAUAUUAAAAUGUAAAUAAUCAUGUGCAUGCAUGUAUAUGUAUAAUUUACAUGAACAAUUUACAAGUAAAAUUCUGCAGAAAAUGAUUAGUAUGAUUAAAUUAGCUGGUUUUCCACUAUACUGUAAUUUUUUCCUAUGUUAACUACUAAGAACAAAAAAGGGUGCACAUUAAGAUUCCACCAGCAAGCAACCAACACAUAUCAAGUAUGCAACUAUCAGAUACUUCUGUCAAAAUCAAAAAGAUAUAUUUCAAAAUCUCAGUAAAUUUAAGAAAUAUUGGCAUGUAACCAAGAUCUUGUCAAACUAAAUAUGGUUACAAACCACGUAUUAUCAAACUAACUUAAGAUCUACUUGAUCCAUGGAAGUUUUUAUAUAGUUAUCAUUCGUUAGUAGCAAAAUAUAGAUGCACCUCUUGCUUUAACUCCUGAGCAAGUUUGUUAUCAGCACCUCCAGUCUGACCUUUAGCAAGUCGAGCAUUCUCCUCACGCUCUCGUCUCCGACGCUUUAAAACACAAAUGGCGCAUAGGCAAUCAAGUUUAUGGCGCCUUCUGCAAAUUAGAAGUAGCUAUCUUACUUAAAGCUAAGAAAGAUUAUGAUCAUCCAAUCUUGUGCAAUCUAUGACAUAGGGUAUUCUAACAUGUGAGAACAAAGCAAAAGCAGGGCAUGCAGUUUGUUUGAUGCAUACAUUAUAUUUUAUCCAAGUUUCUUCUUAACAACAGUUAGCAACUGGACUAAACUGAAUAAAUAUGCAACUACAAGAUUAAGUGAUUCAAAAUAUCUCAAGAACCACAAACAAAGGGAUGGGGAAAAGGAACGAUAAAACAAUUUUCCUCAGCAAAUUGUAUGACCAUUCACUAUUUCCUGCUAGAUUUAUUUGCUGCUAACGUAGAUUUGUCAAAUAACAUACAUGAGACGACUAAAAAUUGGAUAUUCAGAUUCCAGGAAUUACCAUUUCAAGAAUUCACAAAAUACAUCUAGAGCAUUGGAGUAUGCACACUAUGCAUUAACAGAAAAAGAAUUAACCAGUAGAGAGACAUACCCAUGACGCUUUUUCGUCUUCUGUUUAGACUGACCACUUUUACCAUGUCCCUGACUUGAUGCUCCAAUGUCCUCCCCUUGAGGACCUUCAGCACCUGGCACAAUGAAAGUGAAUAAUGCUCAGGCUGCCAUGGUAAAAUGAAGCCAAACAGCCUUAAACCCAAUGGAGCAAGCAUGUUCCAAUUUAAACAACAGGAAGCUAAAAAACAAGUUCCUAACAAUCUACAGAGACAAAUUGCCUUACAUACAAAUUGAUAAAGGAUCAUAAUGAAUCAGAGAUGACUUAUGAUGUUUAGGAACGAAAGAAUUUAUGACAGCAACCAUACAUUCUAUCUUUCAUAGCAAAUACGAUUUGGCACUAAGAACCUAUAUGGCAACGGUUCAUCCGACUUAUAGCCACAUAUAUUUCAGGAAAUGAAUGCCCCGCCACAUUAGUUGUUUCUUGACAUAUUUUGGCCCCAAUAACUCCUGCUUAAGAUCCAUGUAAGCAAGAUAAUGAUAUGGAGGAUAUAAUGGUGCAUCAAUAAUUAAAAUUUCACCUCAAUUGAUAAAAUUAGAAGUACUGAUAUAUUGCCAAAACCACUGAAACUCAUUUUUUGCCCUUUUCAUCAAGGCCUCAAAACUAGCUAUUCCUCCAUUUUUUUAGUUGUGAUUCAUAACAAUAAGAAACAAUAAAUAAAAAAAAAUAAAAAGAUCCCAUGGCUGCAAUGUUUCUGUCAUGCCAACUAACAAAAAGUUAGAUUACUGUUAAAAUGAUAAAAAUAAUCUGUUCAUUUAGCUUUUUCUUUUGGCUCUUACAAACAGAAGGGGAAAAAAAGAAAGGCAUGUUUUUAAAUGAGUCUUAGCACAAAAAAAUAAUUUGACUCAAAUAAUACAACCAUAAAACACAUACCACUGGAACCUCUUGAUUGUUCAGUGAAUAAACCAGCUGCAGUCCAAUACUUCAUAAAAUUCUUUUUCACCCUUCUCAUGAGGUCCAAUAUAUAGUCACCCUUAUUGUUAUACUUGUAACAAUUGUCCCAAAUGUAUUGAACAUCUUUAUAGACAUCCUCUGAGUUCAUAUAUUUAUCACCUUUUUCAAGAUUUCUGCAUAUUGUUCCAAAGUCCAUUGGUGUAUCAAUGAUGUCAAAAUAAUCCUGGUUAAAUGUACCAACAAAAAAAAAAAUUAUUCUAUGUGAAGAAAUAAACAUCUCAAGCAGUCUGGCAUAAAAUAUAGGACUAUUAUCAGAAAAAGAACGGAAAAAAAAAAAACUAGUACUACCACAUUUUCUGUUCAGUCAGCAUAAAGAAAUACUGAAUGUUCAAAGAUGGAUAUUUUUUCUCUUGUUAUAUAGAGGUGGAGAUUGACAUGACAAUGAAGAAGACAGAUGAGAUUCCUAUGUUUUACAUGAGGGUGGUCCUUACAUAGAGAGAAAUGCAGAGAAUAAUAAUAAGCCAGCAAGCAUAAAUGAGAGUCCUAAGAAUUUAUGAUACAUACACUCAAAGACAAGUAAAGGUCAAUGCCAAAUUAAUUGCAAAGCUUUACUGAUCUUGGCAAUGAAAUAUAAUAUUCAAACACAAAGCUUGCAAAGUGAUGGACAAGGGAAAAAAGGUACUAAAGUAUUAUGCUAUAAGGACCAUAAAACAUAAUGUCAUCAAGCAUCCCAAACAACAAGUAUUUCCACUUACAGGUAUUCCUAAAGCUUCAGGAUUGACAGGAACAUUGAAGGGUUCAGCUGCAUCCAUUUUCAUUACCUUCUUAAUCACCUGCAAGGAUAAAUAUAACAAUAAUAAGUACUCCAAACUCGACAAUAUGCAGUCAAGAAACACAAAGGAAUCCCAAUUGAAACUUCUUACUCACCAACAAGGCAGAAUCUAACUCUUGUUUGCUAUAUUGAUAUUCUUGAUGAGGUGUCUUUGGUUCCUUUUGUUGUAAACUCUCAUCCUGUGCCAUUCCAGUGCUACUCUUCUCGACAUUCAAUCCGCCCAGCACUUUUGACGGCUUAAUCUUGAUACUGCCAGGUUUCUUUGACACAUGUCCAGGAACACCAGUUUUAAUUUCGGACAGGGAGUUGCCAGUAUCUUCCAUUUUAUCACCAACCACACCUUGUUUCUCCAAACCCAGUUGGGGGCUACUCUUAUCAGUAUCGCUCGGUGAUUCUAACACCUUUGAAGUCUUGAGCUUAACCUUAACACGCCCAACUGACUUUCCUGCAGUCUUGUCAAUUGAACCAUCAGGGUUGAUACUAGCAAGAUUCAGUGGCUGGUCUGUACCAGUGGAAGAAGGUGUAUCAAUCUCCAUUCCAGAUUCAUAUUCUUCAUUAUUAUGACUGUCAACAUUGUUAUUAUUAUCAUCGUCCUCAUCUGCAGCAGAAUUAUCUUCCCCAUCCAAACUAACUAAAUUUACAACUGCCUCAGUUGUGGCAGGCACAGGAGGGCCCUUUUGCUUGCCUUUCUUGUUCCCUCUCUUUCGUUUCAUAUUCUACCUUAUACAGAAUUCCAAAACAAAAUAAUCAUAAAUCCACAAUUCAACACAUUUUCAGAAUAUCCCAAUAAGUUGCAAUUAAUUUCCAAGCUCAUUGCUUUACAUUGAAAAGAAAAAAUGAAAAAUAAUACACUGGGUAUAAAAUUUUUGAAAUUUUGUCGUUGAAUUAUCGAAAAUAUGAAGCUUCAAAGAAAAUUACAAGCAAAAUCCCAAGACAGAUAGCACAAGGUACACUUCAAGUCUUCCCUAGCAAGCAAACCCUAGAAUUAACCCUGACAAAAAGCAAAAGCGUAAAUUAACAGAUGAUAAAUAGCACAUACCUUCUUCCAGUUGAAGGAGAAAUUCGAGCUAAUAAUUGAUUCGGAGGAUAUACAGACAGAUAGAGAGCUCUGUUAGGGAGGUUUAAGGUUUUACAAUUUUGCGAGGCUUUGAGCAUUCAAUUCAAUUAAGAACAUUUUUAUUUUAAAAAGGACUUAAUCAGCGAAAGCGGUGUCGUUUAAUAGUAACUGAAUUUUAUUUAUUUAAAAAAAUGCUUUUAUAAGUUCGUUACUAUGAAUUAUUUAAUGAAUUUGCCCUAAAUUUCCUUUUUUUUUUAUGUAGAUGUAAUUAUUAUGAAUUUGACUUUUUACGGUUAUUUAAAAUAAAAUUUUUUAUAAAAUUUUAAUUGAAAUUGAAUUUUUUAAAUUAUUUUAUUUAAAAUAAACAAAAAUAAUUAAAAUUUCAUCAUAUAUAAAAAUAAAAUUAUAAAUAAUUUUAUAAUAAUUUAUUAAAAAAUUUUAUAAAAUCAUUUAUAUUAAAUGAAGAUAAAAUAAAUUAAUACUUUCCAAUUAAAUAUUUAUAUAUAAAUUUAUAAGCUCAUUAUACAUUUCUAUACAAAGAAAUUAAAUUUGAGGGUAUUUGACUCCGAUUGCUUUUUUUUAAAAAAAAAAUUUAAAACUUACAAGCUACUUAUAAAUUAAUAAAAAUAAAUAAAUGAUUUGGUAUUAUUUUUUAUAUUAUUUAAAAAAUUAAUAUAAAUUCAAAACAAGUAAAGAGUUAUAUCACUUUCUUGUAAUUUUUAUUUAUUUAUUUAUUAAUGAUGUUAUUUUAUACAUAUGGAUAUUUUUUUUACUAUAAUUCUAUUUAUUCUUAAAAUUUUUUAAGAAAAUAACUAGGCGAUCAUUAGUAAAAAUUGAAUUCAGUUGAUUAUUAUAAAUUUAUUAAAUUGUGUAAUAAUUAUUUUAUUAUUAGAAUAAAAUAAGUAGUUAAUUUGUUAAAUUUUUAUAUUUAAUUAUUUAUUGAUAUAUUUGUAUCGCUAAAAUUAUCUUAUUAUGAUAUUUUUGUAUGAUAAUGUAAUUUUUUUUUUAUAAAAGUAAGAAGUCCGCUCUUUUAUCUUGAUGAAUACGUAAGAGUUUGGCUCACUUGAAUUGAAAAAAGUUUAAACCGUACCGCACAGUUCCAACCUUAGGUUUCCAAUUUAUUUCUUUUGAAAAAGCACAAGGCGUCGUAUAAACCCAGUUUACAGUAACUCAUUCGAUUAUUAUUUUCUCAAAUAAAUUACAUUUAUAUAAAUUUAAUAUAUAAUUAAAUGAAUUUUAUAAAUUAAUAAAAUAAAUUAACAUAUAUAAUAAAUAUAAUAUUAUAUUAUAAAUAAAUUAAAAUAAUUAAUAUAAUUUUUAUAAUUAUAUUUAUAUAAAUUUAAUAUAUAAUUAAAUUAAUAUAAUAAAAUAUAAAAAUUAAAUAAAUAUAAUUCAAAUUAAUUACUACUGCACUUGAACAUUUAUAAUUGUUUUUUAAUUAAUAGUUUACUGUACAGUAAACAAAAAAUAAUGAAGUAAACAAAAUAUAAUGAAUCAGACAUCGGUUCUAUCGCAUUUUAUAAAUGUGAUAGAAUUUUGUUUUUUUAUUUAUUUUUUAAAAAAAUUAGACCCAGAACUUUGCCUUCAUCCAGAAAAUUUUUUUCUGGAACUAAGAUUUUAGAAUUUUUUUUUUUUUUAAAUCUUGAAACAGUAAAAAGCUCCUUCAAUUACACACACUGCCCAUCAGAAUUACAAAAGCAUCAUCUGAACAACUAAUAAGCCAAAAGCGAAAAAUCUCUGCAGGUUCCUUUUAUAAUUCUCAUUGUCAUUUUCAUCUAUGCAUCAACAUAAAGAAUACCAACCAUGAUCAGCAAUCACUCCAAAACCAAAUAAUAUAGAACUCUGAUUACAAGCAACAAAAUUCAUGAUUAUGAACAAUUCAUGCAUAAAUACAUAAAGCUUGUGUAGCAGUUGGCAUUAUGUGUCCAAUCCAAAAAGGCAGGUUCAAUCCAUCAAGCCUAACAAUAAUAUCCUGUGCCAACAGAAGGGGAGAGAUGUUCCAAAACAUAAAUUGAGCAAGUACUGUGAGCAUCAUGCGUCUCUGUAGUCUCUAGUCAACCUGCAUGUAAGGCAGGAAUAUAACAAAAAGUUAAAAAAUUUAUUUAUUGUAGUCUCAAUAGAGGUCAAUGAUCAUAAUCAGCACAUAUUCCAAAUUAAAAGUUUAUGUAAGGUGCUGCAGUAGGACAGCAAAACCAGCCAACUUCUCAUCAGAUGGAAGGACAAAUCGGGCAAAUAGGAGACCCAUUAUAAUAAGAUAAAGGUGUUCUUUAACAAAGUCAGGAAGUGGUUUAAGAGCAUCCAACUCACUCCCACCUGGAUAUUUACUUUUUAUUGAUAUACCCUUUCAUUAACGCAAUUCCUUUCUCUCAUUUAUAGGUUACACUAUCCCCUCAAUAAAUGGUGAAGCAAGUAUCUAACACAAUCAUCUUCUACUCUAGACUCAACCCCUGUGUGUGCCAGUACUCUGCAUAGGACAAAUUGAAUAGGAUAAACGUCAAUCAAGCACUAAGAUUAUGUUUAUUAUGAACACAUGGAAUAGUCAUAAACGCUAGCAUUGUGGAAUUAAAUCCACUUUUUCCCUAAACUUGAGGCAAUGUCCAAUUUUGCCCAAAAAAUUAAGUUUUUAGUCCAAUUUACUGAAACCCUUUGAUUUAGGAUCAAACUAGCGCAUCUUUGACAACAACAACAAAAAAAAAGGAUGAGAAAUAAUGAUUUCCAAAUUUUUAAUAAUAAAAUAUUAAUUUUAUAUUUUUAAUAUUACAAAAAAAUAUUUUUAAUAUUUAAAAUAUAAAAUUAAUAUUUUAUCAUAAAAGUUGAAAAAUUAUUAUUUUCACCUUUUUUGCUAAAAGUGGGCUAAUUUGAUGCUUGAUCAAAAGGUUUAGGUAACUGGCUAAAAACUUAAAUUUAGGCAAAAUUGGAUAUUGCCUCAAAGUUUAGAGGCAAAAAUGACAUUUCUUCCAUAUAAUUGUGGACCCAUAGAAUAUUUAAGAGCAAAUUAUUUUAAAAGUUGAGGUUAUGGUAUGGCCUAAUACUCAUUCCCUAUUUAAAAUUAGCUAUUACUAUAAAUGAUGAAAUGUUGAUAUUUGUGAAUAACUUUACAACAUCCACAUGGUUUAGCCAUCCAUCCCCAACCCACUAAAAAUGGGUAGACAUUUUUAAUCUAGUCAACCAUGAAUUCAAAGUUCAUAACUACUCCAUGCCCUCUUUGACAAAAAUAAAAUAAAAUAACUAAAGUGUGCAUGGACAUUGAAAAAGAAACCCUACAGAGGAAAAGUGUCAUCACCUCAUCAGAUUGAACUGCAUGACUUGAUGAAUGUGCUUGUGGCAGUAAAUCUUUAGGAGCAUUUUUAGGAAACUAUCAGAAAUGAAGAGUAAUGUCAUGCAAUGCAAAAUGCUAUAUACUCUACAAUUUAAUUCAACAAUACCCAUAGAUACCUGUUUUGAACCCAAAGCACCCAUCUUGUCAAUCAGAUUCUCCAUAUUUGAAGUCAUCUUAACUAUCUGUGCUUCAAGGGAUGCAUACUUUUGCUCCAUUGCCUCCAUUUUGUUUAACAUCUUGCUUACCUCCUCAUUAGCUGAUCUUUUGGCCUCCAAACCCAUCCUCAUAAGACUAUAAGGGCUAGGUUUUUGGCCCCAGACAUCAGCAGGACUGGGACCCAACCCGACCAAGUGCAUAUGGCUACCUUUUCCUUUUCCCAUAACUUGGCCGUAGGUGUCAUCAUAGUCAUCACUGCCAUGUGAAGUCCGCUGCUUCUGAGCUUCUAGUUUACGGAGUUUUGUCUGCAAGGAAGAUUCGAGUAUUCAGUUUAUAAGGUUUAAGUACUGCACAAAGGAAAUUAUGUGGAAUAACAACAUGAGUAAUAAGUGCGCAGCCUAGUUAAUUGAAACAUACUAUUGCUUCUGCUGCUACUUUGUCCACAGGUCGUCCAUCCUUACGUGUACGGGUUAGGAUGUAUAACUCUCCUCUAGUAAGUUCCUUUCCAUCAGCCCUCUUUGCAAGCUAUCAUCACAUAAGCAACAAUAAAUUUGCAUGUCUUUUAUAUACUAUGUGCAAAUACAAGUUCCAAAAAGUUUGGAUUACCUCUUCCUCGCGUAUCCUUGCAAAGCUCUUUGUACCUGCAGCAUGGGCACUCUUCUGCUUUGCACGGUUAGCCUUAUUUCUAGCACAACGCAACUGUAAUGCCAUAGGUAAGUUUGAAAAUAUGAGUAUCCACACGAUAUACAAAUAAUAACUUGUAAACUGCCAUAGCCAUAGCUAGCACAUACCUGCACCUCUUCAGAGUUCCAAUGCAAUACAAGGGCUGCCCAUUGAUCAGGAAGGACUCUUUUGUUACAGUCCUUCAAACGUUCCUCAUCAGUUGUAUGAGGGUUAUAAUGGUCAGCCUUUAAUCUUGCUUUCCAGUUCCUCCAUUUUGAUGCAAGGGACUUCAUAACCCAAGUUUUGCCCGUGGGGUCAAUAUCAAACUUCAUCUGCAUCACAAACAAGAAAGGAAUCAGUCAAGAAACAAUAAAGUUAAAAAAUAUUUGAAAGAACAAAAUCAAGAAGAUAAAGGAGAUUUUCUUUUGUCCCUUUCAAUAUCAACCCUCCCAGGCUCCCACCCUAUCGCUUUACCACUAAGAAGAGAAUGUGAUUUCUUGAUACCUGCACAAGCUGCCACAUAUCCUCUUUGUUUGCAUCUGGUAUUCUUGACCAGUCCAGAAAAUUAAGUGGCGCCAUCUUACCAUUUCGUGCUAUGAUGCCCAAGAAGGAAGAUAGCUUUGAUGCUUCAGCACCAACAGGUUGUCCCAGCAUGUUGAUAGGGACAAGUAUUCGCUCACCCUCAGGCAAGUCAAACAUGAAAUGGCAUUGAGUGGGACCUCGACCGCUCUUCUUUCUCUUAAGUGUGGUGUUUUGGGACCUAGGAGGGUGGUUGCGGCUCCCAGGGCCCGACACUGAUGGGAUUUCAGAGUAUCUCUUCGUAUGUCUUCUUCCCCCCUUGCUAGCGUCAACAUGUGGCAUGCCUAAUCAUCUCACAUAAAAUACCAACAAAUAAAAAGGGCUGUAGGUUAACAAAAAAAGUAACACAAGAAAAAGGAAAAAAGGAAGCUGAUUAAAUUCACCUAAAGAGAUAUAUGCAAGACCUGUGCAUUUGUAUUACUGCUUUCUUUUUCUCACUUCUAAUUGUGCACAUAUCAAAAUCCAAAAAAAAUAUUUUCAUCUACAUCAUCAAAACUUUCAAGAAUAGCAUACCUGCACCAGAAACACCUACACUUGCCUGAGAAGGCUGAGGCCGCCAAAUGCCUGUCCUAGGCUGAUUUGAUUCACUUGCUUGGCAGUGGCUGGGUUGAGGUUGGUUCAUGCUGGUAAACAAUUGAUCCACUGAACAGCCAGGUACACAUCCAUUGUGUGUCAAGGUGCAAUCCAAAGGAAAUAGUAAGUGCAGAUGGCCAACAAAAUAAUCAGAGGUCAGCACAUAUUUAACAGAGCUCAAACAUUGAAACAUCACUAGUAUACGGCAAUGACACUAUAAUCAUGAACUAACAGGCUGCAGGAGAUAUCAGACAAUCUUAGUAGAUUUAAUAAAUAAAACAUCACAAUGGGCUAAUAGGAUGCAUAUCCAUGGAUCAUUUCAGAAAUGAAGAAGGAAAUCAUGCCCUGCAACUAAUUUUGUAUACCUAACUAAUUAUUUCUACCAAAUAACCAAAAACAUGAUUUCCAAUGAAGAAAUACCUUUCCCCUUUGUUAAUGAGAAGUAGUUUUUAUGAUUUUCGUGAAAUCUAGGAACUAAUCCGGCAAAAUUAUGCUCUAAGAACUGCACUAGCCAAGUCAAGCAAACAAAGAAAAAGCAUAAGCAUGAAAUUCAUACCACCAGGCUUCUUCAGAAUAUCACUUCGUAGUCCUGAAGCAGUCCAGUAUUUCAUAAACUUCUUCUUCACCCUUUUCAUAAGGUACACAAUGUAGUCACCCUUUUUGUUAUACUUGCGACAAUUCUCCCAAAUAUGCUCCACAUCCUUAUACACAUCUUCUGCGUUCAGGUACUUGAUACCAUUUUGAAGAUUGCUACUUAUUGUUCCAAAAUCCAUAGGCAUAUCUACGACAGUAUAAUAAUCCUGCUCAUCAUGAUAGACCCCCAGCAACCCAACAGGAGAGAGAGAUCAGUCCAUGUCAUACAUUGGUUAUGAGAGGGGGAAAAACACGUCAUAUAUCCAAUCACAAAUGAACAACAGAAUAAGCAUGCACAAUAUACAAAACAAAACUUUGAUGCUAUUAUUGUGAAAUUGGACACCAUAGUGGAAAGGCAUAAUCAUUAUGCUUUUAAUAAAACUCUUAUUACUAUCCGCAUUUUUUCAUAUAAGGGUGAUGAAAAGAGAAGAUGAAGUGCAAAUGAAACCUGUUUCAUCUGGAAUAAAACAAAAAGGCAAAUGCAUUGCACCCAUAAGUCAUAGAAUGCAAUUUUUUAGUCUCUCCCCAAAACUUGUCAGGGAUGAACAAUAAAAAAAGAGAUUGCAGAAGUGCUUGGCCAUCUUCAAAAUUCCCAGCAAUGGGUGUUACGCAUGUGUAAAAUUUAGCCAUUUAGUUAUCUGCAGGGGUGGAUUUAGGCAUGGGCCCCAAUGAAAUUUUAGAAAAUUUCUUUAGGGUAUUAAGGUAGAGUUCCCAUAGAACUAAAUAACUAAGAGGAAAAUUACCAUUAAGUCCCUAAUUUUUUAAAAAAUUCAUUAGUUUAUUUUUAUUUGAAAAUUAUUUAAUUAAAAUAUUUUUUGUUCUAUAAAAUCAAAUUCUUUAGUUUUUCUAUCAAAAAUCUAUUAAAAUAUCUUGAUUAUUUAUAUUAGUUAGUUCAUAAUCAUAUAAUUUUAAUGAUACAUAUCAUUUAGUCCUCGUAAAUUUAAAUAUCCAGACCAUUGAGUCUUUGUGAACAAAGGAUAAAACAACUUAGCUAACGAUUUAGUUGACAAAUGGACUAAACAAUAUAAAUUUCCCAAAAACAUAGAAACUUGAUAGUAAUUCUUCUAUAAAUAAAACCCCAAUCCCACUACUAUUUUUAUAGCAAUCACACUUACUUAUAUAUCCUCUCCCCUAUUUCUUCAUUAAUCCAUAAAAUUUUCUUCUAAUCGUCAAGAUUUCAACUGCUCUUAUCCUGCUUAUUUUUUUUAAAAUAUUGAUAAAAUAAAUUAUCAACUCAUCAUUUUUUUUGUGUACAUUGUUUUUUAUUAUUAAGAAGUGAUAGUUGUUUCUGAUCAUCUCUAUUUAUAUGAUUAAGUUAUAUAUUUUAGUCUAUUUAAAUGUAGGAAAUAAAUUUUAAAUGAAAAAAAAAAUAGUUUUAUGAGUAGCAGUUUUAUGUACUACUACAUUUAGAAAAAAAAAAUUAAAUAGGUAAUGUUUUAAAUUAUUUAAAAAUUAAAGAUCUUAAAUAUAGAUAAAAACCAAAUAAUGCUUUCAUAUGCAAUAGUUUAAACUACUGAUUAUAAAAAAAAAUCUAAAAACUCAUAUUCUACAUUUUAUAUGAAUUUAACUUGCAAAAAUUUGACAUAUAUAAUUUUUUUUUCAUUACUUUAUUUGAACUUGAUUCUCUACUUGACAACUUUGAUUUUGAUGUGUAUAUAGACAACAAUUUUUUUCUGAAAUGAGUGAAAUUUGCGAUUUUACUGAGCAAAUAAAACUGGGCACCGUUACUUCAAGUUUUGCAUCAGCCACUGGUUAUCUGACUAGUCUGAUCUUCAAAUCUAAGGUAACAGAAAUCCACUAAAAGAUUUAAGUGACUUUAAUUUUUGCUCCAUAACACCUUCACUGCCUCGAUAAUGCAAAUAAGUGUAUGAGGAACAAGUUGCUCUUUUUUCCUCUGCAAUGCCUCUAUUCUAAACCCUGGACAUGUCAUGUCUAAUGCAGGUACUCCCAUAGCCUCUCAUGUUGUUCGAGAGAUAAGUACUACCCUAACAUGCAAAUAGAGUUUAUACUCAUGCAACAUAUACAAUGCACCAAAUAGCCAUUGACACUUACAGGUAGUCCCUGAGCGACAGGAUCCACAGGAGCAUUGAAAGGUACAGCCUCAUCCAUUUCCAUAACCUUCUUAAUCACCUUUAGCACAAAUAAAAAGUUCAAAAAAAAAAAAAACCAUCAAAACUUUUCCUACACAAAACCAAACAUUUGGGACCUCCAAUAAUCUCAAAUCACAGAAACCACAAACUUCACCCAAAAGCCCAAUAACCUAAAAAAUGUCCCACAUACCUCUAAGGUAGCUUUCAAUUCAUUCUGGUUAAUCCGAGAAUAAUGAGAUGGGUUCUUCGACUGUAGUUCUUUCCUGCUUGAAGAUCUCAUUCCCUUAGACGUCUUAACUGUAGCACUUGUACCUUUCUUUGAGGCUUCCCCUCUCUUAGGUCGAGCACGUUUGUUAGCUGGUCUGUUCACCAUCCAUUCAGUUGUUGGUUCAUGAAAACCACUACCAACUCCUCCCUCGAAAUGAAACCCAUCACUUUCGCCUGAAGAAGAAGACGACGAAGACGCAGACGAACUAUCAGAAUCAUACAAACUAAACCCAUAAUCAUUAGGUCGAUCAGGCACAGAAGUUCCAUCGACAUUUUUGGCAACGAAGUCCAAAAACGCUUCCUCAUCAACAUUCUCCACAGUAGGCUUUUUCGCACCAGAUUUUUUGGGGCGUCCACGCUUCCGUUUCAUAUCUAUAAACAACGCUAUAAUCAGUCUUUCAAUGAUAAAAAGGAAGCAAAAUAAAAAGGAAAAAUGAAAAAUUGAUGGGUACCUACUUCGAUUUGUGAAUUAUGUAUAAGUUUAGGAAUUGGGGUUUAGAAAAGUUGAGAAUCCGAGGCGUUGGGUUGGGAAUGGGGAGAUGAGAAAUGAGAACGGAAGCGUUGGUGCACUGGCAGUGUCGCCAAAUGCAGUAAUAGACGAGUGGGAUUUCGGAACUUGGCGUAGGCUUCUGUUAUGCUUUGUUUGACUGAGCGUUAAAUUUUAAUUUUUUUAAUUAAAAUUGUUGUUGAAUUAUUAUUAAAAUAUUAAAUAAAUUUAAAUAAUAUUAAAUAAAUUAAAUAAAGGAGUAUUAAUUUUUUUAUAAAAAUAAAACUUUAUAAAUAAUAAUCUUUUAUUAUAUUAAAAAAUAAUUACAAAUAAAAUAAAAUUAGCUAUAUUUUUUAAUUAUAAACAAUUAAAACUAAAAAUAAAUAUUUAAUGUAAAAUAAAAAUUUUAAUUUUAAUUUUAAAUUUUAUUAUAUUUAAAUAAAAUUAAUAAUUAAUACAUUUUUUAUUUUAAUUACAAUCUAUUUUAUAAUUAUACUAUGAUAACUUUUUAAAGAAUUGCAUGCUUAUUAACUUUAUUAUAUAAUAAGUAUUAUUACAUAAAUAAAAAUUUUAUAUUUUUAUUUUAAUUAAAUUAUUAAAUAUUAAUUUAAUUAAGUUUAUAUAUGGUUUGUAUUUAAUAACAAUUUUAAUUAAUUGAUAUAUAUAUAUUAAAAUUUUAUAGAGUUUAAAUACUAUAUGAAUUUGAUUUAUUAAACUAGUAGUUUUAAUUGGUUUAAAUUAUUUUUAUUUAUUAUUAUGUCUUUAAAAAUACACAAGUAUAAUAUUUAAUUUUCAAUAUUAUCUCCAACAAUUAUUUAUAAUUUUUUAUUUUUAUAAAUUAAUUUUAUUUUUAAUAAAAAUACUAUUUUUAUAUUCAAUUAUUUUUGUCCACUUCCUAAACUUAUUAUCUAUUUUUUAUACUAUAAUAAUAUAUAAAUUAAUUAUUAUAACUCUAUUUAAUUUUCUCUUAAUUUUAAGAAUUUUUUAAAAUAUUUUUUAUUAUUUAAUAAAAUUUAAUAUCUUUAAAAUGAGUAUAAUUAAAAAAUAAAAAAAUAUUUUUUAAUAUACGUAAAAAAUAAAAUGAAUAAAAAUUAUAUGAUAGAGAAAUAUUUUUAUAAUAUCUUUUUAUUAUUAAAUUUAAUUUGGAAAUUUAUGUAAAUUUAAAAUAUUAAUUUCAUUUAUUUUAAUAAUAAAGUAUUUAAUUUGAUUGGUCAUAAAAAAAAUUAAUAUAUAUUAAAUAAAACAAAAAUAUGAUAAAAUUAGAAGAAAGUAAAAUAAAAGUUAAAAGUUUAUUUUAUAAAAUAAUUCUAUCAUAAUUUGAAAAUUAAUAUAAAUAUAUUCUAAAAUAUUAAAUUUAAAAUAAAACAUAGGAUAAUGAACAUAUUUUUUAUAUAAAUUUUAAAAUGCUUUUCGAUUAAUAAUUAAAGUGUGAAUAAAAAAUAUAACGUUUUAAUUUUUAUUAAAAUGGUAGCAAAUUAAAACCAAAAUAAUAUAUAUGGACAUAUUUUUAAAGUAAAAAAAUAAAAAAAUCAAUUUCUAAAUUUUGUUAACUAUUUAAUUGUCCCGUAUUAAUUAUUUACUUGUCAAAAUAGUUAGCAAAUUCUAAAGUAAAAUUCUUUUUGACAAAUAUUUCACCUCCACCCGUAAAAUACUAAAUAAUUUUUUUAAGGAAAAAUUAUUUUUUAGUAUUUGAGAUAUAGUCUAAUUAAAAGAUUCGUAUUUUUAUUUUUAGAACUCAAUACUUUCGUCUUUAAAAUUUAAUUCCAUUAAAAUUAGAUAUUUUUCCGUCAAAAGCACUGUUAAUGACAGGAAAAAUGAUCGAAUUACAUUUUAUAGAACUCAACACUUUAGUCCUUAAUAUUUAAUUUCUAUAAAUUUAUAGGUUUCUCUCAAAAAAUUGAAGAAAAAAAAUAUGUUUUCGUCCCUAAAAUAUUAUAUAAUUAACAGAUUUGUCCUUCUAUUUUUCAAAUUCAACACUUUAGUCCCUAAAAUUUAAUUUCGUCAAAAUUCAAGGAAGAAAAUCUCAAUUUCAAACUCAAUCUCCAUAAACAAAUAAAAAUUUCAAUAAAUUUAAGAUUCAAAUUGUGUGAAGAUAAUAAAAAUCAAAAUAUAUAAAAUUUAGAUUAUUAAAAAUAAAAAGUUAGAAUUCAAUAGAAAUUAUUUUUGUGGUGCCGCUCGCUGUGGAUCACUUCUUGCAAUUUGAAAAAUUCAUGAAAAUGUCUCUGACAUUUUAAAAAGUCUACUAGUUAAUUUUUCCAUUAAUUUUAGUUGUUAAGUAUUAUAAAAAAAUAUAAAAUACCCCUGAUAUGAAGGGACUAAUUAGUAAACUUUUUAAUAAUUUGAGGGACCAACUAAUAAUUUUUUUUAAACUAUAGGGACUAAAUAGUAAAAUAUUUAGUAAUAAAAUUAAUAGAGGAACUAACUAUAGACUUUUUAAAAUAUCAGAGACAUCUUAAUAUAUUUUUCAAAAUUGAGGGACUAAAUAGCGAGUUUUUCCAUCCUAUAGAAGCUAAAUAGUAAUUUUUUUAUUUUAUUAUUGAUAAGGGUAUUUUUAAAAUUAUAUUUAUUCUCUUUCUUUUGACCAAGUGAAAAUUAUUGACUUAACAGAAAUUUUUUACGGAGAGAUUUUGGAUUUUGACGGAAUUAAACCUCAAAGACGAAAGUAUUUGAUUCUAAAAAUAUAGGGACAAAUCCGUUAAUUAUGUUAUACCUUAGAGACUAAAAAAUAAUUUUUUCUUUUUUAACAUUAAAAAUAUAAAAAUCCUAUGAGAAUCAUAAAUCGAAGUUGAUGGAAAUUUGUCCACAAUCUGUCUUGUUUUCUUAUUUUUGUUUUUCUUCCAGAUCGAUGCUUAUUCAUGUGGGACUCCUUUUGUAACGACCCGAAAAUCGGACCGCUACCGGCGCUAGGAUCCAGAUCGGCUUAAGGCCGCCGGGACCCGUAGCAAGCCUGACAUAUAACCUGUAAACCUGUAUAAUCCCAUACAUGAUCCACAACAUACAUAAAAAUUAAAACUUUUCUUUACAUGAACAUCAACCAAACUCAACCUGUGCAUAAAACAUUAACAUAACAUUGAUCCCUCUGUGGGAUCUCAUCAGUGCCCCCAAGGGGUGACAUAACAUACGUUGAGUUGGUUUACAUAAACAUCGUAAAAAUCUCUAAGAUCAUGUGUUAAAGGGAUAGCACAAUCUAUGGUCAAGCACACACUAACAUCCAUAAACCUCAUUACAUAACUAUACUGUACUUUUACAUUACAAUUUGAUCAUGUCCAUUGCUAGCUAUUACAUAAGCAUGACUUCUUUACUCUAUCCGGACUCCCGCACUAUACUGUACCUGCAAGCCUGGGGGUAAAGGGAGAGGGGUGAGCUAAAAGCCCAGUGAGCUGAACUAUAAAACAUUUUAACACUAUGCUUUAAUGAAAUGCAUCAUAACACAGACAAUUCACAUAAGGGUUGGGUGAACUUGUCACCAAUUAGUCCAAGCUAACAUGGUGCCAGGCCGUAGCAUGGGGUCCUGUGUAGCUGUGCACGGGCAUGUUGCCUCAUCCUCACAUGCCUGCUAGCCCCAUCGAGGAUCAGUUAGCUCAUUUUGUAGGCCUCUGACUAUGCGCCCAUCGCUCCCCCAACGCUCCUAGCAAGUGUGCAUGCUCCGCAGUCCAACUGUGAACAUGGUCACUUGGCCUUCUCUAUAGGCCUACCGCAACCUGCCUACUACCUGCAUGCCAGCCUAUCUCUGCUUGCGUCUGCUGGCCAACCAGUAUUCUGUAGUCUUACUGCGCUUGCCUGCACUCAUAGGCCUAUGAAAUCUGCUCAGUGUCUACAAGCACACUUGCGCCAGUUUUGCCCAUAAGUCUGUUGGCUUCAGCAAACUCCUCGUAGGUCUCUUAAAACAGCAUCCAAUAGCCAAUUUGCUCAUUGCCUUCAUCCCUUUGUAGUACCCCAGCAGCACAACUCGUCCUCGUGGCUAGGUGCCUCUACCAUCCUCUCGGCCUCGCACCUACUAUGCUCCAUCUCGAGCAUUGUUGCCUCCUGUCAAUCCUCUUGACUCAGCGAACCACAAGUCAAAGACUUCCACUGCCUCAAUGGAACCCACAUCCACGACACUACUCACCUCCACCAGGUGGUCGCUACCUUAGUAACUCCCAUCCACACACUCCACCAGGUCUUCCUUCACCA